UGCGUCCAUUUGGACCUGAUCUAGACCCAAGUUCAAGUUAAUAUAAUUGUUCUUCCCUAGUGAUACUGGUUGGUCAUAAUGUUGUACCAUCUCUUAGCACAGAAACAGGAUGCGUUCUCUUAUUUCUGAGUGUAUAGCGUUUUAAAUCUCUACCCUCUCCCUUUUUCCUUCCCGAAAGGAUUGGUACUCCUUGACUAUGCUAUUCCAACUCUUCAUUUUUGCUGAAGUACCUGUAUUGACUCAUAUCUGAACAGUGUGUCCGAGGAUAUGACAUUCCAAGGAUUUUCCAAAUACAUGUAAAAACUUAGAAAAUGGAACAUGCUUAUGUUGGACCGGCACUUAUACCAUGAGCUCCACUAAAAAAAGCUUAGGAAAAGCUUUUACCAAAAUAUCUAGCGAUUUACCAAUACUUCUUACAUUGUAAAUCAUUAAAAAUAUUGGUAGUAAAUAGUUAGAAAUAUUGGUAAAUCAUUAGAUAUUUUGGUAAAAGCUUUUCCUAAGCUAAUUUAAGUGGAGCUCAUGGUAGAAUUUCCCAUGUUGGACCCAUACUCACAUCUGGCAUUCAUUUUUAAGUCCAAGUAACACAGCGUGACUAUUUUUCUGUAAGUUCAAUUUCAAUGUCAACCACUGCUUCCUCAUUUAAACACAGGUAUACAUAUAUUCUAGUGGUAGCAGAUUGGCUCAGAGGCUUCUCUUUGGAAAUACAAAAUUUGGUGAUUUGAGAAAGUAUUUAUCUGGAUAUUUUGACACUGCAGUGGGGUAAAUUCACAACAUCCAUCAUAGCUUCCAUUCUUAUCACUUAAUUUUAAUUCAAGGUGACACGUCGUUUUGCGUUCCUUGCCUGCAGAAACAAAAGAGAAAAACGCAGUUAUGUCGAAAUAACCGAUACUUUGGGUGUUGAUAAGCCAUCUGAGAUACUAUUUCUGACUGAUAUCUAUCAAGAAGCCAUUGCUGCAAAAGCUGCAGGUAAUUGUUUUGCUCAAUUUUUUCACCUGUGUAUGCCAGAUUACAAAAGUCAUAGGUUCCACUGUUUCUGUUUUUUUCUUCAUUGUCCAUAUUCUGAGAUAUAAAAUCAUUGUCCAAAGUAAAUGAAACUUUUAUUCAUACUCUUUCUUCCUUUUUUUCUCUUUUGUUGGUUUGUCUGUUUGUUUUUAUUUCCCCCUUAGAUAUCCUGCACUGUUAGAAGAGAAUCUGAAUCAUAUCAUUUCCAUAAACAACAAAAUACCAUAAUAUAAAUAUUAAAAUUUCACUGCACUCCCUUGCAUAAGUUGUCAAUGUUACUCGAACUAGAAAUUAAGGUGAUAUUAUAUACUUGUAUCAUAUUCAUGAUUAUCCAUGUAUUAGGUAUGGAGGCUAUAAUCUCUGUCCGUCCGGGGAACAGUCCACUUCCAGAUAACCAUGGGUUCAAGACCAUCAACUCUUUCUUGGAGGUCUAAUAGAAAUUUUGUACUCCUGUAAUAACAUCAACUGUAACAGUUCAUAUACAUAAUAAAUCACUUUUUAACUGCAAUAAAUCUUGGGUUCCUUACAACCCUUUUAUCAAAAUCUAUUGCUGCAAAUUCUGUUUGUGCGUUCAUUCUGAGUAAUGGGAAUAAUUUCAAUUCUGGGGACGACAACUAAUUUUUCAGACACUCAAGUGCUGGGUACUUCUGUCACCCCAUAAAGUAUCUAACCAGAUAUCUACCAAACAUUAUAUGUCAUAAUAAGGCUUUUGCAGGGNNNNNNNNNNNNNNNNNNNNNNNNNNNNNNNNNNNNNNNNNNNNNNNNNNNNNNNNNNNNNNNNNNNNNNNNNNNNNNNNNNNNNNNNNNNNNNNNNNNNNNNNNNNNNNNNNNNNNNNNNNNNNNNNNNNNNNNNNNNNNNNNNNNNNNNNNNNNNNNNNNNNNNNNNNNNNNNNNNNNNNNNNNNNNNNNNNNNNNNNNNNNNNNNNNNNNNNNNNNNNNNNNNNNNNNNNNNNNNNNNNNNNNNNNNNNNNNNNNNNNNNNNNNNNNNNNNNNNNNNNNNNNNNNNNNNNNNNNNNNNNNNNNNNNNNNNNNNNNNNNNNNNNNNNNNNNNNNNNNNNNNNNNNNNNNNNNNNNNNNNNNNNNNNNNNNNNNNNNNNNNNNNNNNNNNNNNNNNNNNNNNNNNNNNNNNNNNNNNNNNNNNNNNNNNNNNNNNNNNNNNNNNNNNNNNNNNNNNNNNNNNNNNNNNNNNNNNNNNNNNNNNNNNNNNNNNNNNNNNNAUCGCACGGUGCAAAAAACCACUGUAGCGUCAACAUAUGAGUCAACUCUACACUGUCGUACCCGUGAAGCUUUGACCCUGAUCUUCUACAACCAAGUACACUGAAACUUCCCACAGUCGUUACAACUCCUGCCACGUAAGAAAAAGGAGACAUUUAAUAAACCAAUCAAUGGCAAAAUUGGUAAUUCAAAGGAAAAGGAAGCUGAUUAUAUAUUUCUUCACGACUAGGCGCGAAGCCGUAGAGCCAGACAGAACGAUCUCUUUAGUAGAGAAGGAUACUUUUUUUUUUUGGUAUGUCAUCUACAAAGCCGCUGCCACCAUCGCCGCCGCCGUCUACUCAUCGAGCCUAUUAUAACACGCGCAAUAUCAAGUCCUUCCUUAAAUUAUUUUGUAUUGAUUGUUUAAAAUAAAAGAAUAGAAAUUGAGCGUCUUUUGCGGUUUUUCUUUGAUGACUUUUCUUGCUCUUUCUCUCACUUUCUCUCCUCACUUUCUCACUGUCCAAACAGGAAACGAUUGCUUUCUUCUACUGCGAGUUCCGGUUUCUCCAUGGACCCUGAAGUAAUCGAGAUCCCUCCUCCGGUUCCUUACUCUUUUAAGUCUAAUAAGAAAAAGCAGGUCAAACACAAGAUUAACUUAGUUAUUUUCUUUUAAAAAAGCAAUUCUUUUCGCCUUUCUUUAACUUAUUCUAGAAAAAAAAAAUUUCUUAGAAUUAUGAAAUUUGAUUAAAUAUACUGAUCGUUUAGUUGUUGCUUUUGUUAUUGGAAUUUUGAUUGAUCGGUUUAUCGUGGAAUUGUGUUGGUCCUUUUUUUGAUCAUUUAGUAUUGAUUUUUUAGGGUUUAAAGGAGGAAAAUUUUUGAAAAUUUUGCAGAGAAAACUUAUGAUUUCACUUAUCACUGUGUGUUGUGACUGGGAAGUUGGGACUACGUUCUUCCAAUCAUGUUAGUUUGAAGUUACCAAAUUUUUUCCAUCUUACUUUUCAUUUUUUUUGGGGGGUUCCUAACUUUGGUCUUUGUACUAAUAAUAGAAGGGAGUUGUGGCCAAUGUUGUGACUGUUAGAUGUCCUCCCUUAUUUGUUAGGGAACCAUUGCUUGCAGGGCCACGGAACGAACAGUUUGAAACUAUGGGUCCUUCCUUUGACACUGUCUCGGGGAUUUAUAAGAAGCUAACCUUGCUCAUGUAAUAGGCAUGCUUGGUAAUGUAGGUGAUGAUUACUGAGCAUGUUUUCUUGGUUGAACUCUUAUUUAUCCUUGCACCCUAACCCUUUUUGGGUACUUUUUUUCGGUCCCUUUGGUAGAUAAGUUACUAAUAGUUUCAAAUGCUGCGCUUUGAAGAUUCAACUUCCUUUUGGUGUGACUGUGGGUUUCAACUGUGUGUUGGUGGUGUAUAAAAAUGGCUUCGUUUUAGUAGAAGAUCAUGCUUUGCUUUUUAGUUGAGGUUUCAAAUAGUUUAUAUGUGCUUUUAAAAUAUUUCUUAGGUAUAUUUUCUUUUAUCAACUGGAUGAAACUUAUUGAUAUAUGUAUAUAUAUCGUUAGAAUAGAUGUUUGAAACCAAUAUAAUUUGCCUCAAGCACAUUUGUCAAUGCUCACAUGUGGUUUGGUUUGUUAUCAGGCAUUUUUUUAGGACCUCUUUAGUUAUUAGUUUGAGCUAACUGAUCUCAGUUUGAGCUAAAUGUUUGAAAUCAAUAUCCUCAUGCUGAUAAAAUUUUGCAGAUAGUAUUAAGCAUUUAAAUAGGGGUUAAAUUCUGUAAUUGCUUGUGUCUAAGACUGACAAUGUUCAAUAUUUGCUAAAAUUUGGAAAAGGCUAAUGACCUUAACAUUGGUCAUGAUCUUUGUUAUUUGAAUUGGGAAAGAAAGAACAGCAGACAAUCAGUUUUCCACAGAGUAUGUCCAUAGAUCGGAUAGAAUGUUGGCAAAGCAUCUUGCAGUAACUCUGUUACUGAAAUUAAGGUUGACUUGAUGUAUAUUCAGUUUUUUUGAAAAAACAAACUCCAGAUCUAGCUAUCUGCUCCAAGAAACAUCUUGUAUAUGAUAUAAGCUUACUUUCUAGAAAUAGAGACAAUUGCAGGUUUAUCAAAGCCUUACUUUUUCUAUUGCGUUAUGUGUUUUUAACUUGUGUCUUGCACAAUCUUGUUGUUCUUUAGAAAAAUCUUCCUCAUGUUUUACUUGAAAAAUUUCUGUUUCAUAUCUUGGUAGGUUGUUAUUCAUGAAGUAAUUGAUGUAGAUAAUGAUGGAGAUUCAAGUGAUAUAGUGAUCCUCGAUGAGAGGGUUGAUGUAAGGAACAAAGGGAAGGCAGUGAAAGGUAGCUCUGGUAUCUAUAAUGCUAUUCAAGCUGAGGUAUGUGAGAGAUUGGAGCGUUCUUGCUGUAGUUACUGUUUACUGUGCCUAACAUCAAAAUUAAUGUAUAUUGGAUCUCUGAUUUUGUUUACUGUUUUCCCAUUUCUCCUCAGGACUUUGUGGCCAAAUCUCCUGCUUCAUUAAACAAGAUUGAGCCUUCUAAACAUUCUACCCAAGGAUCACAUAAUAUAUAUAACCUUGAUUGUGAUUUGACCUAUGAUGAUGAUUUCUUUGAUAACUAUUACGGGAAUGACUUCAUGGAUGUUGAUGAGUAUGCCAUGUUGCAAGCACAUUUUGAUAAUGUUGAUAUUCCUGCUGGAGUAGAAGCAUCCAUCCCUUGGUUUGCUGACUUUUCUGAGAGGAAAAAGGAUACUUCUCAUGUAAACAGUCAAUCAAGUGUUAAUACUUCUCACUCAAAGACUCAAUUGAGCGCUAAUGGGAAUGACCAGUCACUUUCAUCAUGGUUGUCAGAGCCUGCUCAUAUGAAGAAGGCAGCUUUAGUUAGUAGUUCGAGUUUCCAUAACCCAGCAGAUCCUGUGAGUCAUUCUCCUGGAGAAGUAAUUGUUCCUUCUACUUUGUUAUUUCCACAAGGUUCUCAAAGUAAGAAGUCAGCUACUUCACAACUUAAAUUGAGCAGUCAAAGUCUUCCAUUUUGGAAUUCAUUCCAGCCUUACCAGGUUGGUGGUUCAAAUAAUGGUAGUAAUGGGAGUCACUCUGAUUCAAUGAUGCUGCCUCAUGCAGUAAAUCCAACUUAUUUGGGUCACUUUAGUUCUGCUGCAAAUAAGCAAAUUGGUGCUGGUAGUUUGAAUUCAAAUUUUCCUACACCUAUAGAUCUAAAUCACACCGUGGUUGCAGAACCGUCCAUGCCUUGGUGGCCACCCCCGAUGAAACCAAAAUAUAAUUUCAAUAAGCACAAUAACUAUACAAGUUUUCCUGAUCCAGUUGAUGGUGUUUACAUUACUCCUCAAGAAGUGGCAGAUAUCAGAAACCAGAAAAAUGUAAACGAAGAAGAGAUCCUCAGUAAGUUCCAACUUUUUAAACAGUUUGAUACUGUUGAAGAUUUUUCAGACCAUCACUAUGCCUCUGGUGGUGCUUCAAUGAAGCAGGUGAGCAGCCUUUCAAGUUGUAUUUAGGUCUUCCCCUUUUAUAGUUAUGUUAAUUUUUCAAUCAGUGAACUUGUUUCUGUUAUUCUCUUGGCGGCAGCCACCGAAGAAUUGGGCAAAGAAGAUUCAGGAGGAGUGGAGAAUUCUUGAGAAGGAUUUACCAGGUGAUUUUUAAGUGUUGAAUUAUUCUCCCAGAGAGUGUCCAUUUGAUAACUUGUUCUUUCUUGUUUUCAUCCCUUCUAAACAAAUGUGUCAUUUAGUGAAUGCUGCAAACCUGUAUUGUGAUUCAAAAUGAUCAAGAUUUUCAUGAAAUAUUAACAGCUGAGAUCGUUUACUUUUCUUGCAACAAUUUCCCUUUGUACUGAUGGAAUGUAUAAGUAACAUUGUUUCUUACUCAAUCCCGUUUCAACUUUUUCAACAGACACUAUUUUUGUUAGGGUUUAUGAAUCAAGAAUGGAUCUCUUGAGGGCUGUAAUUAUAGGAGCAGAGGGCACUCCCUACCAUGAUGGUCUCUUCUUCUUUGAUGUUUUCUUCCCUGCUAGCUAUCCUAAAGGACCCCCUGUAUGUAAUUGUGGUUUAUGAAUUUGAUUGUAUCUUGUAUGAUCAUUUUUUCUGGUAUAUGUGUUUGGACUGAUUAAUAAGAAUUGUUUUUCAGCAAGUUUAUUACCACUCUGGUGGACUGCGCCUUAAUCCAAAUUUGUACAGUUGUGGGAAAGUAUGCCUUAGUCUUCUAAACACAUGGUCUGGUAAUAAGAAUGAGAAGUGGAUACCUGGUAUGUCUACCAUGCUCCAAGUUCUGGUAUCUAUUCAGGCUCUAAUCUUGAACCAGGAUCCGUACUUUAAUGAGCCUGGUUGGGCUCAUCAUAGAGGCACGCCACAAGGUGAAUUACUGUCUCGACAAUACAACGAGGAUACAUUCAUAUUGUCACUGAAGACAAUGAUCUACUCAAUGAGGAGGCCACCAAAGGUAAGUUGAAAGAACUAUUUUCUUGAUAUUUUCGGUGGUGUAUAUAAGCUGGAACCCGGAACUAAUAGUUUGGAUUAAGAUAUUCCUAUUAUGAUAAUAUAGGGCAAUUGCUUCUCUUUGGCUUAAAUUCUAAUAGAGCAAUGUUUGGCUGCAGCAUUUUGAGGAUUUUGUAGUGGGCCAUUUCUACCGUCGUGCUCAAGAUAUACUUGUGGCAUGUAAAGCAUACAUGGAUGGUGCUCAGGUAGGUUGCCUGGUAAAAGGCGGGGUUCAAGAUGUUGAUGAAGGUGACAAGAGCUGCUCACAGAAGUUUAAGAACUCUGUCUCCGGAUGUGUAAAUAUGCUGGUGAAGGAAUUUACGGUACUUGGAGUAAAGGAUUGUGAGAAAUUCCUCAUUGUCCCCAAAUGUCAAAACAAUCGAGUUGAUAGUAUUCCCAAGGUUCCAGUAUCGUGAACUACUUUUAAAAUAAAAAUUUUGAAACUUGGUUUCAUUUAUAAAUAUGAAUAGUAGUUUUAACUUGAGUCCUCAGCUAGUAACUUAGAAUUGAUUUGAGAAGUGUCCUAUACUUUCCUUCAUAGGAUGCUCACAUACAGUCUCUGACGUACAUUGAUCCCUUUUAUGGAUAGUGGUUAUCGGUUCUUACCCGAAUCUGAAUUAUCAAUCUCCAACUAUUUCUUCUACCUCAGCUACUUUGGUUAAAUGGUAUUUGCAGUUGCUACCGAUGAUUCUCAUGAUUUUCAGCAUCUACGAGCUAGUAUGUCCAUUAAUCUGGUCAAAGAAAACCAAAGUUCAAUGGAUGACCAAUUUAUUAUUUUACAUAUAUAAAAUUUAACCCAUGUAUGAGAAAUUCUCAUCCUUCCAAUAUUUCAUCUUAAUAUUUUAUAUAUUGUACAAUUUAUGUCAACAUUCAAGAGGUUGCGUUCUCACUAAUUCCACCAAUGCCUCCUUGGCAUAUAUGUAUAUCAGUUUCCAGCAGAAAGGAGAAUAGUGUUAUUCAGCAAACUGACAAUGCAGGCCUGUUAAAGAAAAGCAUCUAAGGUGAAAAUCCAUCCCACUUGGGGAAGUUUCAACGACUUUCUGGACCUUCGAUGCAGUCUUUGUCUAUUCUGUAAUAAAAAAAUAUUUCGAUUUUGGAUGCUUGAACCAUAUAACAUGUAGACUUGAAAAUGACAAAUUCAACAAAAAAUCAUUUAGACAUCAAAAACUGUUUGUUCCUUCUUUGAAAUUACGAAGGCAAUGAAACCUUCAAUCUUUCUAUGGCUAUGUACAUUCAAAAUUUCCUUUCUGUUCAUUAGUUUGUCAGUGAAACCUGUCUCAUCUGUUAUAGACUCUUACUCUGAUCAUUGUUUAACGACUGUCCCUGAACCAGUCCCCAACUCUGAACCUCUUGAUUACGAAUUCGGUCCAUUUGGUCCAUCCCAAUCUGGUUUUUACUAUUUUGGAAAUUUGAGAGUUGUAAGUACAAAUAUAACGAGGUAUACAAAUUCAUUUUCGUUUUACACCACUGAGGUGAGCCAAACCGAUAAAGAUGGUGUGUUUAUGAUCGAAGGAAGCUUCGAGCUCCAAAAUCCUUUUGUUUUACACAGCUUCUUAUACGAAGAUGGACCAUCAAAAGGUUCAGUUCUCACACCUCACACGCCGCCUGUGGUCGCUGAUUUUACAAGUCCGUUCAUUUUGAAGCUGCACGGCUUCUGGUCCAAAUCUUCGGGGGAACUUUGUAUGGUUGGAACAGGUUCUUCAUACUUCAAAGAUGGUAAUCUGCUUACACCUGCAGCCGUUCUUAAGCUUCAUAAUAUAAAGAAUUCAAGUAAUAUUACUACUUUGAUUACUGGCACUUUGAAGAGUUUGAGUCCUAUCAAUGAUAACAAUUACUUUGAGCCCAUCUCCUUAAUGACGGUUCCACAAAUGAAUUACAGCUUCACCUUUGCGUCUGGAGAUUCUGGUGACAAAUUUUCCAGUGAAAGUGAUCUCGAAGAGAAUUUAUCUAUGUACAAUAUACUGCGAGGAAGAUCCUUUUGUUAAAAGUUGUUGGAGCUGAGAGCAACUAACAACAAGUUUCAGCCUAUUGCUUGAGCAGCAAGUGUCGUGACUUGCAGCAGAAACAAGCAGAAAGCUAAAAAGAAUAAAGCAAGAAGAAUGGAGAGAGUUUUUGAAUGAAAACUUGAUUAAAUUCAUUCAUCAAAAAAAUGGCUUGAUGCCAAUACAUAAAUCAAGCUUCUAGCUUGUCAAGACAGUAGGUUAACCAAAACCAUACCUACUACCACUAAGUUUCCUAGUAAAUUGGAAUAAUAACUUGUGCAAAUGAAUAAAGCUGGUAAACAGCUCAAUCACCAUCAAGAUUACAUCAAAUAUCAUCUUAUCAUAGUUCAAAAUGAACUAGAUUACAUUACAUAAACAAAAAAAAAUUCAAAUGAAACUAAACAUCCUUGCUUUCUCGUGCAAACUGCUGCUUCUGCAUGGUGGUCUUCAAUGCUGCAUGCUAACCACCUUUCAACACUCCUCCUUGGUUAGCAUGUUGCUAACUCCCAUCUUCAUUCUUAAGCUUUGAAACCUUGAAACAUUAAGAGGUUUUGUUAAAAUAUCAGCUAAUUGUUCAUCAGAACUGCAAUGAACCAGUUUUACUUCAUGAGCUUGUUGCAUUUCUCGAACUGCAUGAAGCUUAAUGUUAAAAUGUUUUGUCCUCCCAUGAAAAACAGGGUUCUUUGCAAUUGCAACAGCCGAUUGAUUGUCACACAUUAUCUCUGUUGCUUCCUCUUGUUCAAGGUUGAGAUCGACUAGAAUUUUUCUAAGCCAAAUGGCUUGAUUGACUGCUGCAGCAGCUGCUACAUAUUCUGCUUCUGCAGUAGAUUGAGCCACCAGUGCUUGUUUCUUUGAACUCCAACAAAAUACUGCUGAGCCAAGAUUGAAAAAAUAGCCUGAAGUGCUUUUCAUAUCGUCCACUGAGCCUGCCCAAUCACUGUCACUGUAACCAAUCAAUUUUGAAUGCUUAGCCUUGGUAUACAACAUUCCAUAGCUCAAGGUUCCCUUAAUGUACCUGAGAAUUCUCUUGCCUGCUUUAAAAUGACUUUCAUUGCAGCAAUGCAUGAAUCUCGAGAGUAAGCUCACAGCAUACAUUAUGUCUGGUCUAGUGGCAGUAAGAUAUAACAAACAACCAAUCAGACUUCUGUAAGUUGUCUCACACACUGGUUCAAAAAUCCCUUGACUCGAUAGCUUUUCUCCAACAGCUAUUGGUGUGUUGGUAGCUUUGCAAUUCUCCAUUGAGAAUUUUCUAAGAAUCUUCAUAGCAAAAGUCUUCUGACUUAGCCAAAUUCCUUUCUCAGCUUGCGUUACUUCCAUGCCUAAGAAGUAGGACAUCAACCCAAGAUCUGACAUAUCAAAAUGCUGUUGCAUUUUGGCUUUAAAACUGACCAGCAUAUCUUGAUCUCCUCCUGUCACCAAUAGGUCAUCGACAUAUAAUGAGACAAUGAGCUGAGUUUCUGCCUUGGUCUUUUUGACAUACAGAGUUGGCUCGCUAAUACUCCUCUCAAAUCCCAAACUGAUCAAAUAGCUGUCAAUCCUGCUAUACCAGGCUCUUGGAGCCUGUUUCAAGCCAUACAAGGCUUUGUUCAGCUUAUAUACCAUAUCUUCUCUACCAGUCACUUCAAAACCUUGAGGUUGUUCCACAUAAAUCUCUUCUUCAAGGGAUCCAUUUAGAAAUGCUGACUUUACAUCGAGCUGGUGUAUCUUCCACUCCCUUUGUGCUGCUAAUGCCACUACCAAUCUGAUGGUGUCAAGCCUGGCCACUGGUGCAAAAGUUUCCAGGUAGUCUAAUCCAUACCUUUGACUAAAGCCUUUGACAACUAACCUUGCCUUUAAUUUGUUUAAGCUUCCAUCAGCAUUCUGCUUGACUCGAUAAACCCAUUUAACUCCAAUGAUUUUCCUGUUUGCUGGCCUUUCAACUAGAUUCCAAGUUUGAUUCUUUUCUAUCAUGCUGAUCUCUUCUAUCAUUGCUUGCUUCCAGCCUUGUUGACUUUCUGCCUCUUCAAAGCAACUUGGUUCUACCAUGGUUACUUGAGCUCUUUCAUAAACAUCAGCCAAUGAUCGAGUUCCUCUGAUUGGUUCAUCAUCCACAUCCAUUUCAAAUGUGUCUUGAUUAGUUCCAACUUGAUCAGAUGCAAGUUCUUCAGUUACAGCCUCUGGUUCAUUUUUAUCCCAGUUCCAGCAUGCCUUCUCAUUGAACACAACAUCUCUACUCACAAGGAUCUUAUUUGUAGAAGGUUCCAGCAUUCUAUAGCCCUUUUUAACUGCACUGUAGCCUAUCAGAAUCCCUGCUUGAGUUCUUUUAUCCAGCUUUCCUCUUUUCACAGCUGGAACUUGUGCAUAACAUAUGCAACCAAAGGUUCUGAGAUGAGCCAGUGAUGGUUUGAACCCAAACCAAGCUUCAAAUGGAGUCUUCUGAGCUAGGGCUUUAGUUGGAAGUCUAUUUUGAAGAUAAACUGCAGUGUUUACUGCUUCAGCCCACAGGGUUUUAGGCAGAUUUUUCUCAAACAGGAGGCACCUUGCCAUGUUCAUCAAACUUCUUUUUUUUCUUUCACUGACCCCAUUUUGUUGAGGUGUAUACACAUUGGUCAGUUGGUGUUUAAUGCCUGCAUUCUUACAAUAGAGUUGAAACUGAGCUGAGGUAUACUCAGUUCCAUUAUCUGACCUUAGUGUCUUAAGUUUGUGGCCAAUUUCAUUUUCAACAGCAGCUUUGAACUUCAAAAACACAUGAGCAACUUCUGAUUUUUGUUUCAUAAAGUAAAUCCAACAAUAUCUUGUAUGAUCAUCUAUGAAAAGAAUAAAGUACCUGUUCCCAUUAAGAGAUUCGGUCUUCAUUGGUCCACACACAUCAGUGUGUACAAGCUGCAGCUUCUCUGAUGCUCUCCAUGCUGUGUUUGCAGGAAAUGACAAUCUUGCUUGUUUUCCUUGCUGGCACACUUCACAAAUUUCAUCAUUCUUCACUGUUUUGAUGAAGUUUUCAGCUAAUUCUUCAUUAAUCAUCUGAGCCAUUGAUUUGAAGUUAACAUGUCCAAGCCUCUGGUGCCAUAGCUUGGAGUCAUCAAUGGAGGCAAUACAGGCUGAAUGUGAGUCAUCUGGCCAUUCCACUUCAAAACACUUGUCAGUCAUGGUGACUGUCAUGAAAUUUGAUCCAUUUGGAUAAAAAAUUUGGCAUUCUUUCUGCUUAAACACAACUGAGUAUCCUUUCUCUAGAAGUUGAGCUAUGCUGAGAAGAUUUCUGUCAAUCUCAGGUACUAAUAGCACAUUCGAGAUGACUUUGAUGCCUGUAGGAGUGUAUAUCUGCACAUCCCCUUUUCCUUCAGCCUUUAUAAACUGACCAUUUCCAAUUUUUACUUUGGUUUUACAGGUUCUGUCCAAAGUUUUGAAAAUGGUUGCAUCUGGUGACAUGUGGUUUGUGCAUCCACUGUCCAGCAACCAACCUUUUGAGCAUUUCUUCUCAGCAGCUAAGCAAGAAACAGCAAAGACCUGCUCUUCUUGAUCACUGCUGUCCUCAGCUACUCGAGCUUCAACCUUUGGUUGUUGAAAUUGACUCUGCCUUGGCUUGGUUUUAUUUUUGCAAACCCUUUCAACAUGGCCCUUCUUCUUGCAGUGUUGGCAUACUGCAUCUGGUCUGAACCAGCAUCUGUCUUCUGGAUGACCUGGCCUCUUGCAAUGUCUGCAGGGCUGGUCAUUGCUCCUUGCAGUAUCAGGCUUAGGCCUGCUUUUCCAAGGCUUUUUACCUCUUGGAGCAUUUAUGCUCGAGGCUUCUCUGGCCUUGGCAUUGAAUGCACCUUCCUGGUGGUCUUCAGCUCUGCUAGCUCUCCUUUGUUCCUGAGCAUAGAAAGUGUUGAUUAGCUCAGUCAAAGAGAUGGUAGCAAGGUCUCUUGGGUCCUCAAGAGAGGAUAUCUUGGCCUCAUAUCUCUCAGGUAAGGUGGAUAUGACUUUCUCCACUAUUCUGGCUUCACUAAACUGCUCUUCUAGGAGCCUUAUGCUGUUUACAACAGCCAUAAUUCUGUCUGAAUACUGCUUGACUGUUUCUUCUUCUUUCAUCUUGAGAUUUUCAAAGUCCCUUCUCAAGUUGAGAAGCUGUUGUUGCCUUGUUCUCUCAGUCCCUUGAAACUCUUCUUUCAGCUUGUCCCAAGCCUCCUUUAGUGUUUCACAAGCCAUGAUUCUUGUGAAAAUCACAUCUGAAACACAGUUUUGUAUGCAUGACAUGGCCUUGUGCCUUUUUGUUCUUUCAUCAGCAUGUUGCCUCAUUUGAGCAACUGUUGGAUUUGCUCUGAGAGGUGCUGGCUCUGCAUCUGAAUUGACUACCUCCCAUAGGUCGAAUGCCUGCAGGUAAGUCUUCAUUUUGACUACCCAAAUAUGGAAUCCUUCUCCAUUGAAGACAGGUGGUGCAACUGGUGAAAAUCCUGAAGAAGCCAUCAGGUUCCUUGGUUUGAACAACAGGUCCACUAAGACAAGGGCUCUAGAUACCAAUUGUUGGAGCUGAGAGCAACUAACAACAAGUUUCAGCCUAUUGCUUGAGCAGCAAGUGUCGUGACUUGCAGCAGAAACAAGCAGAAAGCUAAAAAGAAUAAAGCAAGAAGAAUGGAGAGAGUUUUUGAAUGAAAACUUGAUUAAAUUCAUUCAUCAAAAAAAUGGCUUGAUGCCAAUACAUAAAUCAAGCUUCUAGCUUGUCAAGACAGUAGGUUAACCAAAACUAUACCUACUACCACUAAGUUUCCUAGUAAAUUGGAAUAAUAACUUGUGCAAAUGAAUAAAGCUGGUAAACAGCUCAAUCACCAUCAAGAUUACAUCAAAUAUCAUCUUAUCAUAGUUCAAAAUGAACUAGAUUACAUUACAUAAACAAAAAAAAAUUCAAAUGAAACUAAACAUCCUUGCUUUCUCGUGCAAACUGCUGCUUCUGCAUGGUGGUCUUCAAUGCUGCAUGCUAACCACCUUUCAACAAAAGUUCUCAAACCUUGCAAUUAAAUAUGUAUUUAAUUUGGAGUAUACAGGCUGUAGAUCCAACAAGAAGUGCCUCCCUGUUGGUGGGGUGGUUCAAAAUUUGCCUGGUUCUAUAUCUUUUGGUGUCAUUAAUUGUACUGAUGUUGGAAAGAGAGUUCGGGUUUUCCUAAAGUUUGAUGAUCAUACCAAGCUUUCAAGGCUCGACCAGCGUUUCAAUCCCGACACAACAUUGAUUGGAGAAGGAAUGUGGGAUGACAAGAAGAAUCAGUUGCAUGUUCUGCUUUGUCGGUUUCUCGGCAGAGCAAACUCUUGGUCUAAUGCUUAUGUUGGAAAUUGCACAACAAGGUUGAGCUUGACGUACCCUGCAAUCUUGUCAAUUAAAGAGACCAGUACCAUAAUGGGGAAAAUUUGGAGUAACAAAACUGUGCAUGAUUCAGGGUACUUUGAAAAAAUCGUGUUUCGAAGUACUGAGUUUCUCAUUGAGGGUCUUUAUAGUUUGAAGUAUGAAUACACUGAACUUGACAGGGUAAGAAAUGAAUGCCCGGAAAGGAAGCUUGACAGAAACAGGAGACAAAGAUACCCUAGACCCUAUUCUUCCGAGAUGAAGUUCGACAUGUCUGUUAGAAGUUCCGAAGGAAGGACUGCUAGUGGUUCUGCUGAUGCUCUCACUGUCAAUAAUCAGUUUUGCAAGCAGGCCGGCAUAGCACUUACGGUUAUCCGUAAUGAUGACUUUGAGAGGCCUACAAGGUGGGAACCUCAAGGCCGAGCCAAUAUUAGCUAUAAGAUAGAUAUCAAAUGGCACACUUCUCAGAAGUUAGCUACUAAAAAUUAUGUAUCUGUUGUACCUGAUGAGAAAAUGGAGAUUACUGCUGAAGGGGUUUAUGAUGCUGACACCGGAGGCUUGUGUAUGGUUGGUUGCAGAAAGUUUGCAUUGACUGAUCGAGCACUUGGAAAUACUUCAAAUACUUCUAUAGACUGUGAGAUUCUUCUGAACUUUCAAUUUGCUCCUGUAAAAGGGUUUGAGAAUGGAGGGUAUAUAAGGGGAAGAAUCGAAAGCACACGGGACAAAUCUGAUGAUCUUUACUUUGAUCCUCUAGAUGUGUCUUCAGUUGCUUACAGCAGGGAACAAGCUAGGCAUACUAUUUGGGCAAUGGAUCUUGAGAUUGUGAUGGUUGUAAUAUCUCAAACACUUAUAUGUCUAUUUCUGAGAUCUCAGGUCUAUCAUGCGAGAAGGCAUCCUAAAACACUCCCUUUUACUUCACUGGUUAUGUCUGUGAUCCUUACCAUGGGCCAACUGAUUCCUCUGGUGCUUAACUAUGAAGCCUUAUUCUAUCGGAAACGUGAUCAGGAUACCAUGUUGUUUCAAACCGGUGGAUGGCUCGAAGUGAAUGAGGUAAUCAUAAGGAUAACUUCAAUGGUAGCAUUCUUGUUGCAAUUCCGUAUUCUCCAACAAGCAUUUUCGAGUAGAUCAAAUGAUGGAAACGGAAAAGGCCUAUGGUUUGCUGAGAAAAUGACCUUGCUUGUCACACUAUCACUGUAUGUUUCUGGUGCAUUAAUUGUCCUGCUUGUCUAUAGGGGGAACUAUAAACGCGAGAUCGUUUUGCUUCCCACUCGUCCGGUCGACUACUGGCAGCGUUCAACUUUGGAUGACCUGAAAUCCUAUGCAGGUUUAAUCUCAGAUGGUUUCCUUCUUCCCCAGAUACUGUUCAAUACGUUCUCAAACUCUAGAGAAUAUGCACUUAGCCCCUUGUUCUAUAUCGGUACGAGUCUGGUUCGGUUGCUGCCACAUGCAUACGAUCUUUAUUGUGACCACACCUAUGUUGAAUACAAGGGAACAUUCAUUUAUGUGAACCCUGCUAAGGAAUUUUUCUCUACUGCUUGGGAUGUGAUUAUACCUAUUGGUGUUUCGCUAUUUGCUGUAACCAUUUACUUGCAACAGCAAUUUGGUGGUUGCUGCAUUGUUCCAAAGAGAUUUAGAUGGCGGGAAAACUAUGAAAAAAUCCCAGUGGUGGGUCAAUCAUAAGUCCCUUACAAGUUUAGUGCUUCAUUUGGUGUGUAUUUCCCAGUUAAUGUCUAUCUCCUAUAUAUAUAUAUAUAUACCUAAACCUCUUUGUGGUUCUAUAUAUCUAUUUAUAAAAGUACCAACCCUAAAAUUACAAAUAGUGAACAGCAUAUUUACUCAUGAUCUUUUUUUUUUUUUACAAUUAAGUAUUCAAACUGUAAAUAUGCUAUUGAUAAUUUUAAAAUAUCCAAAUAUUAAUUAAUUCUAUUUUUAUUAAAUUAAAAUAUCAAUUAAUUUUAUUCAUUGUAUUAUUUCAUUAAAAUUCUUAUUAAUGUAAAAUUCUUAUUAUUUAAUAUUUUAUUCUUCUAUUUAAUAUUUUUUUUAUUUGUACUUUCCCUUUUAAACGUAUAUACCAAGUUCCCAAUUAAAAUGAGAUGUGUAGGGAGUAGGAAGAAUAAUAGCACAAGAAAAAAAGAGAAAAAAUAAUAAUAUUUUCAAUGGUAAUCUCGACAAAUUAGAGGAGAUUUGACAAGCUCUUUAUAUUUUAAUUUAAUUAGAUUUCCUUUUAAUUCGGCACAAGACCUUUUUUUUACUUCAAGAUUUUAGGACUUAAUAAUUUUUAAAAUUUAUAUCAAAAUAAUUUUUAAAAAUUAAAUAUUCAAAUUGUAAAUCAUUUUACUUUUAUUAAUUUAAUUGGUGGUAUUGUUUGUUUAAAUCUUUUCUUAAUGUGAAAUUUUUCUAUUUAAUAUUUUUAAUUAUAUUUUUUUGUCAAUUUGAAUUUUUUUUGAGUUAUCAAUCUUUUAAAAUAGUCGAAUUUGACCAUUAGUCUUUCAAAAAUAGUCAAAUUGCUAUUUUUUAAACAUGAUAGCCCGCAUGACAAUUCAUAUGUACUUCAUCCUAAUUUUUUAAAUUUUUUAUAUUUUUUUUAAUUUUGAGUCAUUUUAUUUUAUUUAUUUAUUUGAAGAUAUUUAUAAUUGUUAAAUUAUUGUUGACAUGACAUACAAGACACAUAGUAUCAUGUCAACAUUAAACACACGUGAGCUGCUGCACAGGUGUCACGCCAACAUCAUUAAAAAAAUGAAUAAGGAAGAAAUUAACAAAAGACAUAAAUGUUGAGGGCUAAAUUUAUCAUUAUGCCUUAAAAAAAUUAGUGGCGCGUAAUUCUUUUUAUAUUCUUAAUUUGUUUUUAGUUUUUGUCAACUUAAUACACCAACACUGGACAAUAAUGAUUCAUAGGUAUCUUCAAUUAAUAUGGACACAAAUUCCUUGAGCUCAUAUACCUUUGGAGAUGAAAAUAGAUAGUGAUGGUGAAACUCAAGAAAGAAUUCAAGAGGAUAAGCUUCUAUAUAUAAGUAAAAACAAAGAAAAUGAAAACUCUAAAAGAGAUUGAGUAUGAACUUUGGCCAAGAGUGAUUGUUAGAAACUUGAGAAAAAAGAAAAGAAAAGAACAAACAAAGGAGAGAGGUACAAUCAUCGAUUAAAAAAAGUGUGAAAUACGAAGAUGAGUCUCUUACUAAUUGAUGGUUGUAAAACUAAUUAAAAAUUCGACUAAGGCAAGCGCGUCUAUCGAACAGUAGUAUAGUUAUGGUGAGACCGAAAAUAUCGUAUCCACGAGGACUAAAAGUACUAGUAAUUAUUAUCUUUUUAUUAUCUAGCCUAACAAUUAAGAGAAUUUUUAAUCUAAAAUUAAUUAUCUAAUUAGCUAAGAUUGCGACAGAGAUUAAAGUUGGAAAAUACUUUUGGAAAACCGAUGGAGAAGACAAUACCCAAGGAAGAAUUCACCUAAACUUCACUUAUUACCUCUAAAUUAGAUGAUUUAUUCACUUGACUUAAUCCGUAGGAAUCCCUGAUUUUUGUUAAUAUCUCUCUCGAGACUAAAAACAACUGACUCUAGGUUGAUUAAUCGAAAUUCUUUCUAAUUAAAACUCCUAUUGUCGCAUUAACUCGAUCUAUGGAUUCCCUUAUUAGAUUUGACUCUAAUCCGGCAGAUUUAUUUCGUCCUAUUUCUAGGAUUGCAUGCAACUCAGCUUAAUUAUGGGCGAUCUACUCUUAAACAAGGAAUUUUCCUCCUCUGAAUAAGCACAUCAAAAACCUGAAUUAAUAUCCUGGAAUAUUAAAGCAAGGGUUAAUUCACAAUUAAAAAUAAGAACAAAUAUUUAUCACAUAAUUCAAAUAGUAAUAAGAUUCGUCUUAGGUUUUAUUUCCCUUAGGUAUUUAGGGAAUUUAGUUCAUAACAAUAGAGGGAAACAUCUCAAAAUUAGGAAAAUAACAAAACAUAAAGAAACCCAAAAACUUCGGUAGAAAUUGAAUGGAGAUCUUAAGUCUUGAAAGAGAUCCUGCUUCUGGGAUAUUCUGAUGGCUGACCUUGAGUGCUUUCCGCGUUCUACUCUCCCUGUCUCCCUUCAAUCCUCUUCUAGGGUGUUUAUAUAGACUUUGGAAUGCCCAAAUUAGCCCAAAAUUAGCCUUUUUCCGAGUAGAAUUAGACUUAGGCUCGAUAAGGACACAGCCGUGUGCCAUGCGCCGUAUGAAGGUGCUCAGGCAGUGUGCAAUUCUGACUUGAUUUAAUGUCGACAGGCCAUGACACACAAGCAUGUGGUCUACCCGUGUGUCACACAUGGGCGUGUGGAUCACUCGCGUGGAAGUGCCUAGGCCGUGUGCCACGCUGAAUUAGGCCCAUUUUGCCCGAUUUUGGCUCGUUUCUUGCUUUUUUCGCCUUCCUAUACUCAUCUAAGUGUAAAACAUGAAUUUAAAUGAUUACAAGCAUCGAAUUCAAUAAAACCAAAGAAAAAUCAUCUAUAAAUAUGCCAAGCAUGGGGUAAAAAUAUGUAUAUACUCUAGUUUAUUACUAAUUCUAAUAUUCAAAUCACAUGAGAAUUUUGUGCAAAAACGCAAAAGAGACAUAAAGGAUAUACAAACUUAUUCUUUAGUGAAUUGUGAUGAUAAGUUAAUCACUAAUAAACUUAACCUUAAAAUCAGAAUUUAAGAUUUAAUUUAUUUACAUAAUUUUUUUCAAAAAUAAUCUUUUGAUGUUGGAUUGUCUAAUCAUGAGAUUCACUCAUUGAACAUUGAGGAUGUAAAUAGUAAAAUUAAGUAAACAAACAUAAUGUAGAGCCCAAUUUUGGCCCGGGCCCAAACUAAUAAAAACUAAAAGCACAAAAAUAAAUAAAGUCCAAGUUCUUAACAGUCCAUACAAAGCCCAAAUUUUACAACUUAACCUAAAACUAAAACAAGCCCAAACUUAUGGGGCCCAAAAGGCCCAAGAACCUAAACCUAAACAGAAACCCUAGGGUGUAAUACCCCUACCCGUAUUCAUUGCCGAAAUAGGGUACGAGGCAUUACCGGAGUUUACGAAUUAAUUUUUUUUUAUAUUCAAUAUAGCCCCUUUAUAAAUAUCUAACCUUUCCUGCAAUAUUAAAUCGAGACCAAUCCACAUCAACCAAAUCAAUUCAACAUAUUUUCAAGAUAAAUUCAUGCAUAUUUAUAAGAUAACGUCAUCACAUAUCUAAAACCAGGUUUGUUAACCAUACUAAUGGCUAACUUUACAUUCAUUUCACGUUAACAUUUACUUUGUUAGCUUAUACAUGCCAUUGAUUUCCACAAUAAAGUUUCUUUAUAUACCGAAAUCCUGAGGUUGACAGUGUGAUGUGUCUCCGACCAAAUCCGACCUCCGAGCUCUUAACACUACAAAACAGGGAAAAAGGAAACGGGGUAAGCACUUCGUGCUUAGUAAGCUCAUGUAACAAGAAUUAUACUUACCUAAUAUUUUCAAUACAAUACAAUAAACAUUCAUAUAUCCAUUCAAUGCAUUAUUACCCUAAUAUGCACAAACUCAACAUUCAAGUUAGUACAAUAAUUUCCAUGUACCAAUAAUAUAUGCUAUGAUUGAUGAGCUCAUCAAUAUCAUAAUUUUCAUUUCCUUGCUAUUUUUUUAUACUUAUCCCGUUGAAUUUAUCGGAAUUUCGAUGGAUUUUCAGAGGUACACUUUUAGUGUACAAUUCCGGGUCCGUCAAUUCAUAUUCAUGUGCGCACAUAUCCAUUUCAGAGAGCACACUCCCGCGAACCUCAACCUUGCAGCGGGAUUACCAGUCCAGGCUAAAUCCCUGCAAUAUAAACUCAUAGAGUAUUGUCGGGAUUGCCAGUCCAGGCUAAAUCCCUUGCAACGACAAUUACUCUAAUGAGCUUGGAUCUGAAUUACCAGUCCAGGCUAAAUUCAGACCCUAAUUCGGAUUACCCGUCUGGGCUAAAUCCAUUUUACACAUAUUCUUCGGGAGAGCUAUAUCAGUAUAGGAUCACCCGUCCGGGCUAGAUCCUUUUUACCGUCAAUUCCUUUUCAGAGAUCCAUCGAAUUUUCCUUUUAUUCAACUGGGAUUUCUUCCCAUUUUAUCAAAUAUAUCAAUGUUUCAUUAAUUUUCAUACAAUGAACAUUCAAAUCAUAUUCACAUCAAUAACAUACAAUCUCAAGCAAUUUAAGAAUAUAAUUCAAGUUACACGAACUUACCUUGAUACUUGUUUGUAAACAAUAAAAAUCUACUAAUCCCGAACUUUUUCCUUUCCUCGAUCUAGCUUCGUAUUUGAAUCUUCCAGAUCUAAAUAAAUAAAUUUAAUUAUCAAUUUAAUACAUUUCAUGUUCAUAUGCAACAUUCUCUAUAAUUCAACUAUUAUUUAUAGUUCAUUCAAAGUUGUCUACUUGAGUCAUAGUCACUAAAUUAUUUAUAACUUGAGCUACGAAACUCAAAAUUAAGAUCCGUUAAUUUUACCUGAAACUAGACUCAUAUAUAUUUUUACUAUAAAAUUUUCAGAAUUUUUGGUUUAUCCAAUAAGUACAGUUUAUUCUUUAAAGUCACCCCUGUUCUGCUGUCGACAGUUCUGACCCUUCUUCACUAAAAAUUAAUUAUCUCUUCAUACAGAAUUCAAAUAAUGUUCUCGUUUAUUUUUCUUAAAAAUAGACUCAUUAAGGAUUCUAGACAUAUAAAUUUAAGCCCAUAAUUGUUUUUAUUAAAUUUUUUAUGAUUUUUCAAAGUCAGAACAGGGGAACCCGAAUUCAUUCUGACCUUGUCUCACAAAAUUCAUUAUAUCUCAAAAUUUACAAAUUCGUUGCUUACACUAUUUCUUCUAUGAGAAACUAGACUCAAUAAGCUUUAAUGCCAUAUUUUUUUCAUCUUCUAAUUCGAUUUCUAAAAUUUAUGGUGAUUUUUCAAAGUUAGUCUACUGCUGCUGUCCAAACUGUUUUUGUGCAAGCUGUUUAUUACCAUUUUUCCCCUAAGCUUUUAAUAAAUGAUUAUUUCGUCCCUACUCAAUUAGCCUCUCAAUUGAGCUGAUUUUUCUCAAUUAACAUUUUAUUAUAUCACCUUAAACUAGUUUACAACCUUUAGGAAUCAGAAUUUCAGCAAUAGACUUUAAUUCCAAGCAUUUUCACAAUUAGGUCCUAAAAAUCAAUUUCUAUUGAAAUUACCUAAUAAAAUCAUCUCAUAAACAAAUUAAAGCUUUAAUUUCAUUAUAUUUCAUCAUAAACUUACAGCACUAAACCAUGGUGAUUUUAAAUUUCAUCCAUGAAAUCAAAAACUAAUGAAUUUAAUAGCAGGACCUAGUUGUAAAAGUCUUAGAAACACAAAAAUUACAAGAAAAAGGCAAGGAUUAACUCAAUUGGUGCAAAAAUUAUGAAAUACCAGCUUAGAGAACCCUCCUAUGGCGUUUUUAGCUGCUGAAAUUGAAGAGAAAUCUAGAUAUUUCCUAUUUAGUCCUAGUUUUAUUUAGUUAAUUUUGCAAUAUUCUAAUUUUACCUUUAAUUUAUCAAUUUUUCUGCUGAUUUCAUACUCUUGCCGUCCAGCCCAAAUAACUUUUGGGUCUAAUUGCCUUUUAAAUCCUUUCUCAUUAGACUUUUAAGCUAUUUAAUCAUUCUAGAAACUUUUACACCUAUUACAAUUUAGUCCUUUUCAUUUAAUUGACUACCCAAACAUUAAAAUUUCCUAACGAAAUUUUAAUACCACAUUAAUAACAUUUCAUAAAUAUUUAUAAAAUUAUUUUUGACUCGGUUUUAUGAGAUAGAGGUCUCGAUACCUUGUUUUUACCCAAUUUCUUCAAUAAUUUCUUUUUCUAUCUAAUCAAUAAAUCGAUAAAAUUUUUCUAUUAAAAUUUUCAUAUUUUCCUAUCAUAUCAAUUUGCAUGCAAAAAUAUUGAAAUAAAUUUCUCUUUAAAUCAAAUCUGUGGUUACGAAACUACUGUUCCGAUUAUUUUGAAUUUAGGCCAUUACAUAGGGUUUCUGAAAGCUUAGGCGCCGCUCCUCCUACCCUCCCAUGUGCAUUGUCAGCGCCUCCAACGCCCGAGACAGACGCCCCGUCCCAUCGCCUUCACUGUCACCUGCAAACAAGCAAAGAAGAGGACAAAAAAGGGAGCAAAUAACAAUAACAAAAGGAAAAAGAGAACAUAAGCAGGAACAAAGCAGUAAAAGCAGUAAUAAGAAAUAGAAUAUUGUAUAUGUUAGGCUCCAAAGCCACAGGAAGAAAACGAUGGAAAAGGGGGGGAACCGAUUGUAUUUUAGGGGGAAACCGAAUGUAAAUAAAGGGGUUUUUUUUUGAAAAAAAGAGAUUGUAUUAGAGGUUUUUUUUUUCCAGAAAUCAAUGAAAACAAAAGGUUGAUUUUGUUUUUUUCUUCUCUUUUUUAUUUUCAAUCUCUUUUUGUUUUCAUUUCAAAUCUAUUUUAAAUAAAAGGAAUAAAGAAGAAAAGGGAGGAGGGCUUACCCUUUUUUGAGACCACCGAGGAAAAAGGAAGAGAAAAGCGACUUUUGAGCUCUCCGCCACCGCGUACGGCGGCGCCGUCGCCAGUGGUCGACGGUCGGCACGACGGCCAUUGACCGAAGCUAGGUCGGAUCCUAAAGGGGCUGAGAGGGAAAGAGUUUUUUUUGAGAGAAUUUUUGGCAAAUUCUGUUUUGUGAAGAAGAAAAAUGAAAUUUUUAACAAAAAAAUUUGGUUUAUAUAGUGCCCUAAUACAACGUCGUUUUGGGGGAAGCCUCAAACGCCCAAAACGGCGCUGUUUCAGUCUAUUGCCUGUCCGACCUGACCUUUAACCCUGGGAUCCGCGUGUUUCUGCAAAAGGGGAUAUUUGCCCUUUUGGUCCUUCCAUCUCUUAAUUAUUCCACAAUUCAAUUUUCUUUAUUUUUUAAUUUGGCCCGAUGAUUUCAUUUCUAUUUCAUUUUAAUCCUGCAUGUUUUAUUAUAAUCUAGCCUCUAAAUUUCAUUUCAAAUUUCAAUUUAACCCUUUAUUCAUUCAAUUUCAACCUUUAUAGAUUGUUAUGUUUUGUUUUAUUUGUUUAUUUAUAUAUCCAUGCAUUUAUUUAUUUCUUUAUAUGUUUAUACUGUAUUUUAAAUUUGUAUUAUUAUUUAUUCUGUCAUUGGCAUGUUUCACUAUUGUAAUUAUUAUUAUUAUUAUUUAUUUAUUUAUCUAUUUAUCUAGUUGUUAUUAGAGGUGAUCAUGGGCCAGGCCGAGCUCAAAUAAAAUUUUAGGCCCGUAUACUAGGCCUGGGCCCGGCCCGGCCCGAAAUAUGGGCUUAAAAAUUUGUCCAAGCUAGGCUCGAAAUAAAAUUGCUAAGCCCGAGCCCGGCCCGGCCCGGCCUAUAUUAAUUUUUUUGCUUAUUUUAUUAAAUAAAAAAAUUUAAAAAUAUAAUAAAUCAAAUAUAUUUAAAAACAUAAAAAUAAAUAUUAAAACAAAUAAAAAUGAUACUAAAAUAAUUCUUAAAAUAAUACACAAAUUGACAAUAUAACAAAAAUGGUUAUAUUAAAAAUUUAAAAUGAUUAAAAAUAAAAUAAAAAUAUAUAUUAAUAUAUAAUUCGGGCCGGGCGGGGCCGGGCCGGGCCCGGGCCAAAAAACUCUUACCCGAGGCCCGACCCAUUUUCUAAACGAGCCUCUUUUUUUGCCCAAGCCCAUUUUUCGGGCUUAUAUUUUUACCCAAACCCUCUCAUUUUUCGGGCGGGCCUUCGGGCCGGGCCGGGCCGUCCAGCCCAUGAUCAACUCUAGUUAUUAUCAUUUCUUUAUUUUUAUACACAUUUAAAAUUAAAUUGCUUACAUUUUAUUUUUACAUUCUUUACAUAUUUGUUAUCUUCAUUAUUAUUGAUAUUAUUAUUAUUAUUAUUGUUUUUUUAUUACUAUUAUCAUUAUUAUAUUAUUACUAUUAGUAUUAUAUUUAUAUUCAUGUUUAUUUUAUUUUCCUAACAUUAUUACCGUUUCUCUAAUUUUAUCUAUCUAUUUAUACUUCUAUUAUUUUUAUAUUUCUACGUAUUGUAUUUCUAUUUAUGUUUAUUAUUAUUAUUAUUAUUAUUAUUACUUUUUUUGAACAUAUCAUGUAUUUUAAAUUAUUAUCAAUUUUAAAUAUUUUACAUAUAUAAUUUCUUUUAAACUAUUAUACGUAUUAUUUAUUUUGAAAUUUUAUAUGUAUCUUUGUAUUUUAAAUUAUUAUAUAUAUACAUAUUUAUUUUUUUAAAAUAUUAUUAUAUAUUAUUUAGUUGUAUCGUUUUAUACGAUAAUUGUGUUAAAUUCUCUUUAUUAUUUAUUAUAAACCUUUCUACUAUUAUUAAUUUUAAAAUUUCAUAUGUUAUUUAUAUUAAACUUUUGUAUAUAUCUUUUAUAUGUUAAUGAUUCUAAAUUCUUUUAUUGAUAUUUGUUUUGAACUUCCUAUAUAUUACUUAUUUUAAUUUUUUUUUAUCUUAAAAUUUUACUUUGGGUUACAUUUAUAUAUAAAUUUUCAUUUAAACUAUUUUUGUACAUUGUUUAUUUUAAAAUUUUCAUUUAUACAUUAUUUAUUUUAAGCUCUUUUAUAUGUAUUUGAAAGGAUCUUUUUAUUAUUAUUUUACUUUGUGAAUUAUUUAUCUUAAUUUAUUUAACAUAUUAUUUAUUUGAAAUUUACUUUAUAUAUUAUGUUAUUUCAAAUUGUUUUAUAUUUUAUUUAUGUUAAAUCUUUUUCAUACGUCAUUUAUCUUGAACUAUUCUUUGGUAUUAUGAGUUUUAAAUCUCAAUUAUUUCAUUUGUUAUCAAUUUUAAAAUUUUAUCCUAUUUACUUUGAAUCAUUUUUCGCAUGUUAUUUUACUUCAUUUGUCUUUGAUUAUUGAUGGGUAUUAAAAAGUAAUAUACAUUGAGAAUAUUGCCAUUACAUGUACUAAAAAUUAUUUAUCUUCAUAUUGUGACAUUCAUUAAUAUUGUAUCUAAUUCGUGUUUCAUUAUUCCAUGCUCUAUUUUACACUUUUGUUUUACUUAGCUCAAAUCAUGUUGUGUAGUAAACCCCAACAUAUUUAUCCAAUUUAGAUCGCUUUAUUGUAUUUCAAACAAAAUAAGUGCAUGCCUUCAAAUGUUGUAUUCGCUAUUAAUAAUAUAUUUCAAAUAAGGCAAUAUUUCGCGUUUUAGGAAAUUUGAGGAAUCGUGCCCUAACUUAUUGGGUUUCGAUUUUCUUGUUAAACCUAGAAAGUCAAAUAUCCUUUUAGAUUUCAAAAUACACAAGCUUUCGAUAAAGAUUAAAGGCAAACUUGCUCUCGACGAUUUAAACGUCGCGUCCUAACUUACUGGAUGCGACACCUUAUAAUCUCGGGACGAGUAAGCCUUUGAUGCUCAUUUCAACGUAGUUAGGCAUUUUGAAACGAACAUUCAUAAAAAGGGAUCAUAUUCGAAAUUCUUUUCGAGUUUUUAAAUUUCGACAUUAAGACAUUAAUUAAUCAGUUAAGUACCAAUUUUGGGCGUUACGAGGGUGCUAAUCCUUCCUCGUACGUAACCGACUCCCGAACCCAUUUUCUCAAAAUUCGUAGACCAAAAUCGUUGUUUUAAGUAAAUCAAAAUGUUUUAUUAAAAUGACCAAAUUUCUAGGUAAUCCGAUCACACCUAAACAAAAAAGGAUUGGUGGCGACUCCUAAUUUUUGUUUUCAUUUUCAAACCAAAGUCGAUCCCCAUUUUUUCAAAAAAUAGUUUUGACACAUAAAACAGUGAAUGAAGAUGAAGGGAACUUAGUACACCAACAUUGGACCAUAAUAAUUCGUGGGUUUCUUCAAUUAAUGUGGGCACAUAUUCCUUGAGCCAAUGAGACCAAUGUGGUUGUGAAAAAAAUUUUGGAGAAUAAAAAAUAGAUACAAUAGCUCUGGAAUUAAUGAAACAAACAGUGAUGGUUAAACUCAAAAAAGAAUUGAAGGUCAUAAUGGUCUCUAAUUAAAAAUGAAGAAAAGUGAAAACUCUUGAAAAGAUUGAAGAUGCACUUUGGGAUUUGGAUAUUAUUAAGCAUGAUUGUCCAUUACUAAAAGAAUGUAGGUGUAUAAAAUUUCUAAAAUGUUGUUGGGUUAUAUUUUAUGCAUGGAAAGUAAAAAACUAUGAAUGAGAUAUUAGAAUUUAAAAGUUCUAAUUAAGAAUAAUGGUGAUGAUCAAUGUGUAUACAUUCGAGAUUGAUGAAUAAAAAAAUUACAUAAUGAGAUAUUAGAUAUUCUAAUUAUUGCAUAAUCAAAAAUGGAAAGAAAAAAAAAAGAUGAUGUGGAUGUUUAACAAUUGACCAUAACUUCAAUGAAUUUAUUUGUGCAGAGAAGUUCAUGAUUUUAUUAAUAAAGGAGAUACCGUUGUUUCUUUAUAUAUUAAACGUUACAUCUGAUUAUGAAGUUGUGGGCUUUGUUUAACAAAAUGGAAUUAUUGUAUUUCAUGAGAUGAAAAUUGCAAUAUCCUUGACAUUUUUGAGAAGUGAACUGUGUCAAUUCGGUAUGACACGUGUCUGAAAUUUUAGGGAAGAUAGAAAUAGAAAUAUUGGUAUUAGUGGAGCGGAUAAUUAGAUAUUAUAGGAAAUCAAAAACACUUUUGAAUUUAGGAAAUUUAAAUUUAGGAGUGGACUAAAUUGUAAUAGUGUAAGAAGUAUUGGACUAAAGUGAAAAUUUUAAAAGUAAAAAAUGAUGAAAUUAGAUGAAUGAGAAAAAAGAUAAGAACUUGGAGUGUAAAUUGAUCAUGAAGUACAUAGUGAUGUGACCGUAAUAAUGAUGAUUAGAUUUAAUUUAAUUAAAAUAUAGAAAUUAAUAGAUGAAAAAAUUAGUAGUGUAAACUGAGUUCACUGUGGUAACAUAAUUUAUUACAUUAGCCGCUGCAUCUAAAGAAGUAUAAUGAUUAAUAAACUUGCUUUAUUAUGUAUCUUUAUAGCUUAAGUCAAUUUCACCUAUUUUUAUCUAUUGCGAUAACGAGGUUACUCUAGCAAAAUCAUAUAGUUAAUUAUAUAAUGAAAAGUCUAUACACAUUAGAUUAAGACAUAGUUAUGUCUAAAAAUUAAUUUCUGAUGGAGUGAUUACUAUUAAGUAUGUGACGUCAAGUGAAAAUUUGGUAGAUCCUUUGACAAAAAAUCUUGCUAGAGAUAUAGUCAACAAGAGCUCAAAAGGGAUGAGACUCAAGCCCAUUAAUUAGAGUCACCCAUGACGGAAACUCGAUUCAACGCUUGAUAUAACGUCAAGUCUUGAGUUCAAUGAGAUAAAGUAUAUCAUUAGUAUGUGACUGUUAGUACUAUAAAUAAAUCCAUGCUAAGAUUAAAGUACUAGGUACCCAUAAUGAUAAGGGAAUGAUCAAUACUGUAUUCUUAAUGGACCUAUAACAUAAAUAUGGUAGAGUGUUAUAAUUAUGAGAACACUCUUAAUGGGAUUUACCUAUGUAAAUGGAAGUGUGGCGGCUUCUAGAAGCUCAAAGGCUUGGUUCUGACAGCACGUAUUAAAAAAAGAACACAGACACAUGACCAUAAUAGUGUCCUUGAAUACUAUGUAUUGAUUGAUGUUGAAAUCAUUGUGUAAAAUGUGUUCGGUUAAUCAAAUGAAAUAGUUGGUUCAAAGUUUAGUCUACCAUGUAAUUUCGAUUAACUUUAACAUAUUUUCACUAAGUGAAUGUUCAAUCAUAAGACACUUUUAUUUAUACAAAUUGAUUUCCAAUAAUAUCAAAAUCUAAAAUAUUUUGAAAAUGAGGGGAGAUUGUUGGAAUAUUUUCAAAUAUUUAUAGUGUUCCAAUAACUAUAAAUGAAUUGAUGAAAUUAAUCAAAAGAUAAAUCUUUUGGUCAUUGGUCAAAAGUUAUAUCAUUUGAUUUUUGAAAAAAAUUAUUCAAACAAUAUUGUUUGAAUAGUUAUAAUAUUAAAUGAAUAAUUAUAUAUUUUUUAGAGACAUUAUUAUUUAGAAAAGAUGCUUAUUGAAAGACAUCUCUAUAAAGAUAAAUGAAAAUUCCUAUAAAUAGGAAUGAGUUUUCAUUGUAUCCUCGAGGAAUUUUUUUGCACACCAAAAAUAAGUGGGGGCGAAUAUAAAUAGUGGUUUGAUACACGUUUUGGAGCCUUGUCCUAUUUUUUCUUUUUUUGUUCGAGUUCCAUUCAUGUGUUUUGGGUGUUUUCUCACCGAAAUUUUUGUACUAACACUUGUUUUGUCCAAAAGAAAUUGUUUGAUUUGGUCAACAUCUAAUCACUCAAUGAGUCUAUCGAAUGUGAAGGAUUAGUUACUAGACUCACUUCUUACAUUAAAAAAUAAAAAAAAAUCUAAAUUUAUAAAUGAUUUAUGUUUCUCGUUCGCGAAUGCAAGUAAUUUAGGAUGAGCUAGAGAAAAUAUUGUCAUUUUCCAUUAUUAUUAUACAAUUUUGUCAACAUUUAAUAAGUUGCUUUCUAAUCAAUUCCAAUGAUACCUUCUCGGCAUAUAUGCAUAUCAGUUUCAGAAAUUAGAAAAAUGUUUGUAGCAAAUUGUCUCCACAUGCAGUCUUUGUCCAAUCUCUAAUAAACAAACAUUUCGGUUUUGGAUGCUUUAACUAUAUAAUAUAUGUAAACUUGAAAAUGACAAAUUCAACAACAACGAAAAAUCAUUCACACAUAAAAAAACUGAUUGUUCCUUCUUUGGAAUUACAGAGGCAAUGAAACCUUCAAUGUGUCUAUGGCUAUGUACACUCAAAAUUUCCUUUCUUUGCUUUAAUUUCUCAGUGAAGCCUGUCUCAUCUGUUCUACACUCUUACUCUGAUCAUUGUUUUUCAAUUGUCCCCGAGCCAGUCCCCAACUCCGAACCUCCCGGUUACGAGUUCGCUUCAUUUGGUCCAUCCCAAUCUGGUUUUUACUACUCUGAUGGAGAUUUCAGAGUUGUUAGUUCAAACAUAACCAGGCAUACAAAUUCAUUCUCGUUUUACACCACUGCGGUGAGCCAAACAGAUAAAGAUGGUGUGUUUAUGAUCGAAGGAAGCUUCGAGCUCCAAAGUCCAUUUGUUUUACAAAGCCUCUUAUACGGAAGUGGAUCAUCAAAAGGUUCAGUUUCCACACCUCACGUACCGCCUACGGUUGCUGAUUAUAAGAAUCCGUUUAUUUUGAAGCUGCACGGCUUCUGGUACGAAUCUUUGGGGGAACUUUGUAUGGUUGGAACAGGUUCUUCAUACUUGAAAGAAGGUACUCUGCUUACACCUGCAGCUGUUCUUAAGCUUCAUAAUAUCAAGACUUCAAGUAGCAUUACUAGUUUGAUUACUGGCACUUUGGAGAGUUUGAGUCCUAGCAAUGAUAGUAAUUAUUUUGAACCAAUCUCCAUAUUGUUGUUCCCACAAUUGAACUACAAGUUUACCUUUGUGUCUGGAGAUUCCACUGACGAGCUUUCCGAUGGAAGUGAUCCCGAAAAGAAUUUACCGGUAUAUGAUGUGUUGCGAGGAAGAACCUUUUGUUCAAAGUUCACAAGCCUUGUAUUUAGAAAUGUAUAUAAUUUGCAGUAUACAGGGUGCAGAUCCAACAAGAAGUGUCUCCCUCGUGAUGGGGUGAUUGCAAAUUUGCCCGGUUCUAUGUCUUUAAGUGCUGUUGAUUGUUCGGAUGUUCUAAAGAGAGUUCAGAUUUUGCUAACGUUUGAUGAUAAUACCAAGCCUUCAAGGCAUGAAAAGCGUUUUGAUCCCAACACAACAUUGAUCGGAGAAGGAAUAUGGGAUGAUAAGAAGAAUCAGUUGCAUGUUUUGCUUUGUCGGUUUCUCGACAUCACAAACUCUUGGUCUAAUGCACAUGUUGGGGAUUGCACAACAAGGUUGAGCUUGAGGUUCCCUGCAAUCUGGUCAAUCAAAGAGACCAGUACCAUAAUGGGGCAAAUUUGGACCAACAAAACUGUGGAUGAUUCAGGUUACUUUGAAAAAAUUGUGUUUCGAAGUACUGAGAAUCGGAUCUGACACUCUUUAUAGAUCAAAGUACGAAUAUACAGAACUUGACAGAGUAAGUAAUUUAUGCACGGAAAAGAAACUUGCAAGAAACAAGAGACAAAGGUACCCUAGUCCCAAAUUUUCCGGGAUGAGGUUCAGCAUAUCGGUUAAAAGUUCAAAAGGAAGGACUGGAUGGGGUUUUGCAGAUGCUCUGACCGUGAAUAAUCAGUUGUACAUGCACACCCACCUUAUGUUUGCUGCCAUCAAUGAUGACUUCGAGAGGCUUACAAGGUGGGAACCUCAGGGCCGAGCCAACAUUAGCUACAUUAUAGACAUCAAAUGGCACAAUCCUCUGAAGUUAACUAACGAAGGUAGUGCAUCUAUUGCACUUGAUGAGAAAAUGGAGAUCACUGCUGAAGGGAUUUAUGAUGCUGACACAGGAGGCUUGUGUAUGGUUGGCUGCAGAAAGAUUUCAUCGAUUGAUCAGUUUGGAAAUGCUUCUAUGGACUGUGACAUUAUUCUUAACUUUCAAUUUGCUCCAGUAAAGGGGUUCAAGAACGAACGGUAUAUUCGGGGAAGAAUCAGAAGCAUACGAGAGAAAUCUGAUCUUUAUUUUCACCCUCUAGAUGUGUCUUCUGUUGCUUGCAGCAGGGAGCAAGCUAGGCAUACCAUUUGGACCAUGGAUCUUGAGAUUGCCAUGGUUGUAAUAUCUCAAACACUUGCAUGUCUAUUUGUGAGAUCUCAGCUCUAUCAUUCGAAAAGGCAGCCAAAUAGACUCCCCUUUACUUCACUUGUGAUGCUUGUGAUCCUUACCCUGGGCCAACUGAUUCCUCUGGUGCUUAACUAUGAGGCCUUAUUCCAUCAAAAGAAUGAUCAGGGUACCGUGUUGUUUCAAACCGGCGGAUGGCUCGAAGUAAAUGAGGUAAUCGUAAGGAUAACUUCAAUGGUAGCUUUCUUGUUGCAGCUCCGUAUUCUCCAGCAAGCAUUUUUGAGUAGAUCGAACGACAGAAACGGAAAAGGCCUAUGGUUUGCUGAGAAAAUGAGCUUGCUUGUCACACUACCAUUGUAUCUUUAUGGUGCAUUCGUUGUUCUGCUUGCCGAUAGGGCGAACUAUAGAUGCGACACUGUGUUGCUUCCCACUCGUCCAGUUGACUACUGGCAGCGUUCGACUUGGGAUGACCUGAAAUCAUAUGCAGGUUUAAUCUCAGAUGGUUUCCUUUUGCCCCAAAUACUGUUCAAUAUAUUCUGGAGCUCUAGAGAAAAUGUACUUAGCCCCUCGUUUUAUAUCGGUACCAGUUUGGUUCGGUUGCUGCCGCAUGCAUAUGAUCUCUACUGUGACCACAGCUAUGUUGAAUACAAGGGAACAUCAAUUUACGCGAACCCUGCAAAGGAUUUUUUCUCCACUGCAUGGGAUGUCAUUAUCCUUAUUGGUGUUUUGCUGUUAGCUGCAAUCAUUUACUUGCAACAGCAAUUUGGUGGUUGCUGCAUUGUUCCAAAGAGAUUUAGAUGGCGGAAAAGCUAUGAAAAAAUCCCAGCGGUGGGCCAAUCAUAAGUCCCUCACAAGUUUAGUGCUUCAUUUGGUGUGUAUUUCCCAGUCAGUGUCUAUCUACUAUGUAUGUACCCCAAGAAACUUGUGCUUUUGGUUCAAAAAAUGUUACCUAAAAAUGUACUUUGAUUCAAGAGUGUUAAGACAUAUCCAGCUAAAUAUCCCAUCAAAUCCCUUUAGAGAGAUACUCCGCCAAGCACCACGCUCGUCCAUGAUUAAGGUAAUGCCAAGCUCAAUCACUCUAGUGAGACCCCUAUCAUUCAUAAUUAACAUGCUUUGUAAUUCCAUCACAUCAAGUUACAUCAUUGAGUUAACCAGAAAUCUACACUGCAUAUCCUAAGUGAACCUGCCAACCAAGAAAAGACAUGUGGCCUACGCAUAUCUCCCUUGAAUAAAUCUCCAAAACUCGUGAAGAGAGAGAACAACAUUAUCAACUAACUUCUUCCCCUCUCCCCUCUAGCAAUUCCUAAACCUCUCCUCUUCCGUGAACGCCAUUUGCACCUCUCGACCCACUGUAUGAACUGUCACCAAAGACACCCUAUAGUUGCAUCCCUUUAUAUUCCAUCUUCCAUUUAUUAUUAUACAAAUUAUGUCAACAUUUAAUAAGUUUCCAGCAGAAAAGAGACAAUGCAGUCUUUAUCCAUUCUAUGAUAAACAAAUAUUUUGAUUCUGGAAGCUGGAAACUUAUAAAUGACAAAUUCAACAAAACUCAUUUCUGAUAUAUGUACCACAACUUCAUUUACACUUCAAAAAACUGUUUGUUCCUGUUUUGAAAUUACAUAGGCGAUGAGACCUUCAAUACUUCAAUGGCUAUGUACGAUCAUUGUUCUCCGAUUGUUCCUGAGUGAGGCCCCAAUUCCAAACCUCCCAUUUACGAGUUCGGUCCAUUUACAUAAUAAAUUAUUAUUAUACAAAUUAUGUCAACAUUUAAUAAGUUUCCAGCAGAAAAGAGACAAUGCAGGCCUGUUAAAGCAAAAUAUCUAAUCGGGGAGAUUCCAAUGACUUUCUGGACUUUUGAUGUAGUCUUUAUCCAUUCUAUAAUAAACAAAUAUUUUGAUUAAGUAUGCUGGAAACUUGACAUUGACAAAUUCAACAAAAUUCAUUUCUGAUAUAUGUACCACAACUUCAUUUACACAUCAAAAACUGAAUAGUUCCUUCUUUCAAAUUACAAAGGCAAUGAAACAUUCAAUAUUUCUAUGGCUAUGUACGUUCCAAAUUUCCCUUCUUUGCAUUAGUUUCUCAGUGAAGUCUGUCUCAUCUGUUGCACACUCUUACUCCGAUCAUUGUUAUUCAAUUGUUCCGGAGCCAGUCCCCAAAUCGGAACCUCCCGUUUACGAGUUUGGUCCAUUUGGUCCAUCCCAGUCUGGUUUCUACUACUCUGAUGGAGAUUUCAGAGUUGUUACUGCAAACAUAACCAGGCAUACAAAUUUAUUCUCUUUUUACACCACUGCAGUGAGGCAAACCGAUAAAGAUGGCGUGUUUAUGAUCGAAGGAAGCUUUGAGCUCCAAGGUCUUCUUGAAAGCGUCUUAUACGGAAGUGGGUCAUCACAAAUUUCAGUUCCACCUCGCGUGCCACCUGUGGUCGCUGAUUAUUCAAACCCGUUCAUUUUAAAGCUCCACGGCUUCUGGUCCGAAUCUUCAGGGGAACUUUGUAUGGUUGGAACAGGUUCUGCAUUGUUAAAAGAAGGUACUCUGCUUACACCUGUAGCUGUUCUUAAGCUUUAUAAUAUCAAGACUUCUAGUAGCAUUACUACUUUGAUUACUGGCACUUUGGAGAGUUUGAGUCCUAGCAAUGAUAACAAUUAUUUUGAAACAAUCUCCAUAUUGAUGCCUCCACAAUUGAAUUACAAGUUCACUAUUGUGUCCGGAGAUUCCGAUGACGAAAUUUUGUUGAAAGCUGGACUGCAAUGCAACAUGGAGCCAAAAGCUUGCUACUGUCGAGACCAACAGCUAUCGAGCUCAGCUCAUUUUGCUUGGUGCGCACGAAUGGUUUUUGAACUGAAUGAAGCAACCAACUUUGCUGUUUUGUUUUGAUGUAAUUUGAUUCAGUUCAACUUUAGUUUGUUUGUAAUGCUAGUUAAACUUAAGUUAGUGACAAGAUCUUUUGAUGUAAUGGCUGAUUGGUCAGCUAUGUUUGAUUAUUUUUUGGCUAGUGAUUAGGUUUGUAUUAGUUGGGGCAGUUAAAUACAUUAGGUAAAUGUCAAUGUACAAUUGUAACUCUUUUAUAUAUUUCAAGUUGAAUGAAAAAUGAUGUAUGUUCAGUCACAAACAUUGCUGAGUAUUUUGAUUUUUGAUGCUUUGUUUGCCUUGAUUCUUCUUGCUUCAGUCUUGCAAACACUGAGUUGCAAAUUUGCUUUGAUGUUUGCUGCUGUCAUUGUUCCAACAAAUGGUAUCAUGAGCCCGAGUCUUUGAGGGGCCUUUGUAUGCAAUCUGUUGUGUUCGAAACAAAACCAACAGCAAGUUCAAAAUUUGGAAAGAUUGAAGCAUUUAAAAUCAGUUUAGCAGAAUGAGUUUCACUCCACCACCUCCACCAGUGUUCACUGGAGAAAACUAUCACAUUUGGAUAGUUAAAAUGAAGACUUAUCUCCAGGCACAUGAUCUUUGGAGUGUGAUCGAGAAUGAUGCUGAACCACCUCCAUUGAGAGCCAAUCCCACCAUUGCACAGAUGAGGCAACAUACUGAGGAGCGAGCCAAGAAGCAUAAGGCUAUGGCCUGCUUGCAAAAUGGAGUCUCUGAUGUGAUAUUUACUCGCAUCAUGGCCUGUGACUCACCUAAGCAGGCUUGGGAGAAGCUGAAGGAGGAGUUCAUGGGGACUGAUAAGACAAGGCAACAGCAAGUAAUCAAUCUCAGGAGAGACUUUGAAAACUUGAGGAUGAAGGAGUCUGAGACCAUCAAGCAGUACUCAGACAGGAUAAUGGCCAUUGUCAACAGCAUUAGGCUCCUGGGAGUGGACUUCACAGAGAGCAGAGUUGUUGAAAAGGUUAUUACAACUCUUCCUGAGAAAUUUGAGUCUAAAAUCUCUUCACUUGAGGACUCGAGGGACUUAUCAGCCAUUUCAUUGUCUGAGCUGAUAAAUUCCCUAUAUGCACUUGAGCAAAGGAGGGCAAAUAGGCAGGAGGAGAAUCCUGAAGCUGCUUUCCAGGCUAAAGCCAGUGAAGGCUCGAGUGUGAGUGCAAAAGGCAAGAAGCCUUGGCACAAUAGAAGGGUCAAGUCAGGAAGAGAUGAAGCAAAAAGGGUGUUCCCACCAUGUGUUCAUUGCAAGAAGACAACACAUUCAGAAAAGUAUUGCUGGUUUAGGCCAGAUAUUCAGUGUAGAAAAUGCAAACAGUUUGGCCAUGUGGAGAAGGUGUGCAAGGGCAAACCAAGGGAGGCUACUCUGCAACAAGCUAGACCUGCUGAGGACAUUCAAGCUCAGGAGGAGCAAGUGUUCACAGCAACUUGUUUUGUUGGCACAACCAAGGCCAGCAAUGAUUGGCUACUAGACAGUGGCUGCUCACACCAUAUGGCAGCAGAUGAGAAGCUGUUCAAAAGCCUAGACAGAAGCUUCCACUCGAGGAUUAGAAUUGGAGAUGGUAGGCUGAUUGAGGCUAAAGGCAAGGGCAGUGUGUUGAUUAGCACUGGUUCAGGUAACAAGCUGAUCUCAGAUGUGUUUUUUGUACCUGACUUAGACCAGAAUUUGCUUAGUGUGGGCCAAUUAGUUGAAAAGGGCUAUACAUUGGUUUUUAAGGAUGGUUGCUGUAUUGUUCAAGACAUGAAUGGUCUGGAGUUAGUCACAGUCUCUAUGACUGAUAGGUGCUUCAUGCUGGAUGUUAGCCAAAUAGAAAGAAAGGCAUACACCAGCCUUGUUGAAAGCACUGACUUGUGGCAUAGGAGACUAGGCCAUGCAAAUUUUAGAUCUAUUGAUCUAUUACAUAGGCUGAAUCUGGUUGAUGACAUUUCAAAAAUUGAAGCUAGUGGGAAUGUUUGUGAGGUUUGUCAGCUUGGUAAGCAGGCUAGACUGCCUUUUCCUGCUGACAGUGCUUGGAGAGCUCAAGACAAGCUCGAAUUGGUGCACUCUGAUGUUUGUGGCCCUAUGAGAACACCUUCAAUCAGUGAGAACAGGUACUUUGCCUUGUUUAUAGAUGAUUUAACAAGGUUAUGCUGGGUCUACUUCUUGAAGCAAAAGUCAGAAGUGUUUGAAGCCUUUUGUAAAUUCAAGGCUUAUGCUGAAAAUCAGUCAGGCUGCAAAAUUAGAGCCUUGAGGACUGAUAAUGGAUCUGAAUAUGUGUCUGAGAGAUUUCAGAAGCUUUGUGACAGUGCUGGGAUUCACCAUCAGCUCACAACAGUCUAUUCUCCUCAACAGAAUGGAGUCUGUGAGAGAAAGAAUAGGACUGUACUGAACAUGGCCAGGUGCCUCUUGUUUCAAGGCAAGCUUCCAAGUCAGUUUUGGGCUGAGGCAGUCAACACCUCAGUGUAUCUGCUCAACAGACUGCCAACUAGAGCAGUCAAGGAUAAGACUCCUUUUGAGGCUUGGCACGGAGUCAAACCUGUGGUAACACACUUAAAAGUGUUUGGCUGUGUAUGUUAUGCACUUAUUCCAGUGGAGAAAAGGACCAAGCUUGAGAGCAGAGCAACUCCAGGAAUCUUUGUUGGCUACAGCAGCAACAAGAAGGGCUAUAGAGUGUAUGAUCCUACAGCAAAGAAAGUUUUAGUCAGCAGGGAUGUUAAGUUUGAUGAGGAAAAGGUGUGGAAUUGGAAUGGUGUUGUGGCUAACUUGUCUGAAUUGGACCAGUUAGACUUGGUUGCUGAACCUGCAGAAGAAGGACCAAGUAAUGAUGCUGUCGAUGAUAUACCAGUGAGGGGCACCAGAACUUUGGUUGAUGUUUAUCAGAGGUGCAAUGUUGCUGUGAUUGAGCCCUCAGACUUUGAAGAGGCUGCUAAAAACAGAAGCUGGAUGAAAGCUAUGGAAGCUGAGUUGGAAAUGAUCAACAAAAAUCAGACUUGGGAAUUGGUGAGCAGACCAGAACACAAGAGGGUCAUAGGAGUUAAAUGGGUGUAUCGGGCCAAGUACAAUGCUGAUGGCUCACUGAACAAGCACAAGGCCAGGCUUGUGGUGAAGGGCUACAGUCAGCAGUAUGGUGUUGACUACCUAGAAACUUUUGCUCCAGUGGCAAGACUGGAUACAAUUAAGCUGCUGUUUGCUUUAGCAGCUCAGAAGCAGUGGAGAGUUCACCAAUUGGAUGUCAAAUCAGCAUUCCUGAAUGGUUUUCUCAAGGAGGAGAUCUUUAUCGAGCAACCUGAAGGUUUUGAAGUUGUUGGACAUGAAGACAAAGUGUAUAAGUUGAGAAAGGCCCUCUAUGGCCUGAAACAGGCACCAAGGGCCUGGUAUGACAGAGUUGAUGCCUACCUGACCAAACUUGGAUUUGUAAAGAGCCUUAGUGAGCCUACUCUAUAUGUUAAAAAGUCAGAACAUGAAACCUUGCUGAUAGUCUCCUUGUAUGUGGAUGAUUUGCUUGUAACAGGGAGCAAAAUCGAGCUCAUUGAUCAGUUCAAGGUCCAAAUGCAGCAAGUGUUUGAGAUGACAGAUUUGGGGAUCAUGACUUACUUCCUUGGCAUGGAAGUGCACCAAUCUGAUCGAGGUAUCUUCAUCAGCCAACACUCAUUUGCUUUGAAGAUUCUAGACAAAUUUUGCAUGCAUAACUGUAAAGCAGUCAGCACACCUGUGGCUCAAGGAGAAAAGCUGACUAGCAGUGGUGAUCAGCAGAGGGUUGAUGAGAGGCACUAUCGAAGCCUGGUUGGUUGUCUGUUGUAUCUAACAGCAACCAGGCCAGAUAUCAUGUUUGGUGUCAGCCUGUUAUCAAGAUUUAUGCAUUGUUGCAAUGAGGCACAUUUGAAGGCAGCAAAGAGGAUCCUUAGAUACAUCAAGGGCACUGCUAGUUUUGGUGUAAUGUUUGAAAGUCAGAACCAACUGAAAUUAGAAGGCUACUCUGGCAGCGACUGGGCAGGAUCUCUCGAUGACAUGAAGAGUACCUCUGGAUACUUCUUCACACUUGGAUCGGGCAUGUUUUGCUGGAGUUCUAAGAAGCAACAAACUGUUGCUCAGUCCACAGCUGAAGCAGAGUACAUUGCUGCAGCAGGAGCAGUUAAUCAGGCCAUUUGGCUAAGAAAGCUGCUUUAUGACCUUAAUGAAACUCAAGAUGAAGCAACUGAAAUCUGGGUGGACAAUCAGUCUGCAGUUGCAAUAGCCAAGAACCCUGUGUUCCAUGGCAAGACUAAGCAUUUUAAGAUCAAAUUGCAUUUUGUUAGAGAGGCUGAACAAACAAAGGAAGUCAGCCUUGUGCAUUGCAGCUCAGGAGCACAAUUGGCUGACAUAAUGACCAAGCCCUUAGGGGCUGCUCGAUUUGAAUCUUUGAGAAGUGCAAUUGGAAUGUGUUGCAUACAGUCCAAGGAGGAGUGUUGAAAGCUGGACUGCAAUGCAACAUGGAGCCAAAAGCUUGCUACUGUCGAGACCAGCAGCUAUCGAGCUCAGCUCGUUUUGCUUGGUGCGCACGAAUGGUUUUUGAACUGAAUGAAGCAACCAACUUUGCUGUUUUGUUUUGAUGUAAUUUGAUUCAGUUCAACUUUAGUUUGUUUGUAAUGCUAGUUAAACUUAAGUUAGUGACAAGAUCUUUUGAUGUAAUGGCUGAUUGGUCAGCUAUGUUUGAUUAUUUUUUGGCUAGUGAUUAGGUUUGUAUUAGUUGGGGCAGUUAAAUACAUUAGGUAACUGUCAAUGUACAAUUGUAACUCUUUUAUAUAUUUCAAGUUGAAUGAAAAAUGAUGUAUGUUCAGUCACAAACAUUGCUGAGUAUUUUGAUUUUUGAUGCUUUGUUUGCCUUGAUUCUUCUUGCUUCAGUCUUGCAAACACUGAGUUGCAAAUUUGCUUUGAUGUUUGCUGCUGUCAUUGUUCCAACAAAUUUCAGGCGAAAGUGAUUUCGAAGAGAAUUUUCCAAUAGACAGUGUACUGCAAGGAAGAUCCUUUUGUUCAAAGUUCACGAGCCUUGUAUUUAGAAAUGUAUUUAAUUUGCAGUAUACAGGAUGCAGAUCCAGCAAGAAGUGCCUCCCUGGUGAUGGGGUGAUUGCGAAUUUGCCUAGUUCUAUCUCUUUAAGUUCCAUUAAUUGUACGGGUGUUCUAAAGAGAGUUCGGAUUUUCUUAAAGUUUGAUGAUAAUAUCAAGCAUUCAAGGCAUGACAAGCGUUUCGAUCCCAGCAAAACAUUGAUUGGAGAAGGAAUAUGGGAUGAUAAGAAGAAUCAGUUGCAUGUUUUGCUUUGUCGGUUUCUUGAUAUAGCAAACUCUUGGUCUAAUGCUCACGUUGGAGAUUGCACAACAAGGCUGAGCUUGAGGUUCCCCACGAUAUGGUCUAUCAAAGAGACCAGUACCAUAAUGGGGCAAAUUUGGACCAACAAAACUGAGGAAGAUUCAGGUUACUUUGAAAAUAUCCUGUUUCGAAGUACUGAAAAUCACAUGCAUGCUCUUCCUGAUUUAAAGUAUGAAUACACUGAACAUUACAGAGUAAGGAAUUUAUGCCCGGAAAAGAAACUUGGGAGAAACAGGAGACGAAGGUAUCCUAGUCCCAAUUCAAUCGGGAUGAAGUUCAACAUGUUGGUUGAAAGUUCUGAAGGAAGGACUGGAUGGGGUUCUGCUAAUGCUCUGACCGUGAAUAGUCAGUUGUACAUGCAUGCCCGUCUUAGUUUUGCUUCUAUCCGUGAUGACUUCUCGAAGCCUACAAGGUGGGAACCUCAGGGCCGUGCCAAUAUUAGCUACAGGAUAGAUAUCAAAUGGCACACUCCUUCGAAGUUAACUGACGAAGAUAAUGCAUCUAUUGUACCUGAUGAGAAAAUGGAGAUCACUGCUGAAGGGAUUUAUGAUGCUGACACUGGAGGUUUGUGUAUGAUUGGUUGCAGAAAGCUCGACCAACCGCUCGGAAAUGAUUCUAUGGACUGUGGCAUUCUUCUUAACUUUCAAUUUGCUCCAGUAAAAGGGCUGGAGAACGGAGGUUAUAUUCGGGGGGAAAUCAAAAGCAUACGGGAGAAAUCUGAUCUUCUAUACUUUGAUCAUCUAGAUGUGUCUUCAGUUGCUUACAAUAGGGAGCAAGCAAGGCAUACCAUUUGGACCAUGGAUCUUGAGAUUGCCUUGGUUGUAAUAUGUCAAACACUUGUAUGUCUAUCUGUGAGACCUCAACUCUAUCAUUCGAAAAGACAUCCGAAUAGACUCCCCUUUACUUCGCUUGUUAUGCUUGUGAUCCUUGCCUUAGGUCAACUGAUUCCUCUGGUGCUUAACUAUGAAGCUUUAUUCUACCAUAAAAACGAUCAAGGUACCGUGUUGUUUCAAACCGGUGGAUGGCUCGAAGCAAAUGAGGUAAUCAUAAGGAUUACUUCAAUGGUAGCGUUCUUGUUGUAUUUCCGUAUUCUCCAGCAAGCAUUUUCAAGUAGAUCAAAAGAUGGAAACGGAAAAGGCCUAUGGUUUGCUGAGAAAAUGACUUUGCUUGUGACACUACCAUUGUAUGUUUCUGGUGCAAUCAUUGUUCUGCUUGUCGAUAGGGCAAACUAUAAAUGCGACAUCGUGUUGCUUCCCAUUAGUCCCGUUGACUACUGGCAGCGUUCGACUUUGGAGGACCUGAAAUCGUAUGCAGGUUUAAUCUCAGAUGGUUUCCUUUUGCCCCAAAUACUGUUCAAUAUAUUCUCUAACUCUGCAGAAAAUGCACUUAGGCCCUCGUUCUAUAUCGGUACCAGUCUGGUUCGGUUGCUGCCACAUGUAUAUGAUCUUUACUGUGACCACAGCUAUGUUGAAUACAAGGGAACAUUCAUUUAUGCGAACCUAGGUGAGAAUUUUUUCUCCAAUGUUUGGGAUGUGAUUAUCCCUAUUGGUGUUUCGCUGUUUGCUGCAAUCAUUUAUUUGCAGCAGCAAUUUGGUGGUUGCUGCAUUGUUCCUAAGAGAUUUAGAUGGUCAGAAAGCUAUGAGAAUAUCCCAAUGGUCAGUGAAUCAUAAACUUGUCACAAGUUUAGUAAUUCAUUUGUUGUGUAUUUCUCGGUUGGUGUCUGUCUCUUAUGUAUGUAUCUUAGCAUGGGUUUGGAUGGGUUUAGAUAGGCUAUUAGUACCUUUUUAACUCAUUUUUUAUCUCACGCUACAAUAUUACUAUUGUAUCUAAUCUCACCACUUAAUCUCUUAUAAUUAUUCAACUUUGAUGUUUAUUAAAAUAUGUAUUAUUAUUCACUUAUGAUAUAUAAAAUUUAUGUUUAAUAUUUACAAUAUCAAAAUUUGAAUAUUGAAUAAAAUAAAUUUGGAUCAACUGAAUUUAAAACUUCAGGAUUUGCUUUUUGUAAAAUGUCUGAGGGGUGUAAUUUGACAUUUUCUCUUACUUCAUAAGUUCGGGAAUAAGGGACAAAAAUAUGAAUGUCGAUUUUUAUUUAUCAUUUUUAAAGAGUAAAUUAUGGGUUUAUUUUAUAAAUUGAAAGCAUGGUUGAAAGUUUCAGCCAUAUCAAAGUCAACUUCAGGAAAAGCCUUCAAACCCAAGACUGGGCCAAAAUUUAGCUUGGACCCACCCCUUAGCUCCAUUAGCUGUUUUUUCUGAGAGGGCAUUAUUUGUUUUCAUAUCAUAAUCAUAUAUUUUCUUAUUUUUAUAUAAAUUUUGAUUUUUUUUAAUGUUUUUAUUUCGUACUCAAGGAAGACUAAAUUUUUCUUAACGUAUUUAAUAUGGCAGGAUUGGUUUAGAGUUAUCAUAGGUCGGUUCAGUAAAAAAAUAGGUUGGUUUUUUACGACUAGAUUAGGAGCUUAAAUUUUUGUUUAAAUUCAAUUCAGAAAAAAAUAAUUAAUUUGAGCUCGAUUUGGUUUGUUUGUAUUAAUUUUUUAAUUAUUUUUAUAUAAAAAUAAAUUUUAAAAAAUAUAAUAAAUCAAAUAGAUUAAAAACAUUAAAAUAAAUAUCUCGUAACAAGUUUAAAAUAUAUAUAAAAAAUAUUUUUAUAUUUAAAUAACACUAACAUAAUUGUAACUUAACAAAUAAAUACUUUUAAAAUAGUAACAAAAUUAACAAUAAAACAAAAGUUAUCCAAUAUCAAAAAAAUAAUAACAAAAUAGUAGCAAAACAAAAAUAUAACAAUAAAUAACAACAAACAACAGCAGAAUUUAUUAUCAAAUUCGAGUUAGGCCAAACAAAUCUUACUCAAGACCUGACUCAUUUUCUAAAUAGCUAUUUUUUUUCCAAACUCAUUUUUUAGACUUAUAUUUUAAAAAAAAACUCUCUUACUUUUUACCCUGCCCCUUUUUUUGUUCCUUACCUAUUAUCAUCUUUCUAAAUCCCACAAAACCCAUUAAUUUUUAAUGAUGAUUAAUGACAUUAACCGUUUUGCUAUGCUUUCAUUGGUUCCAUCCAAGACUAAGCAGAGUAAACACUAAAUAGAAACGAUUAAUGUAAGGGUCCCAAAAGACUUUUGCUGCUGAAUGAAACAAAGAAACCAGACUCACCUAACCAAAACUUAGUUAAGGGCACUAAUAAUUAACCAGUUGAAUAUAUGAGGGUUUUUGUUUUUCUUUUAUUGCUCCCAUUUUACAUGUAUUGAAUAUAUACAUUUAUUCUUGUAUGAGGAAUCAAACCAAACAUCGAAUUACAUGUUUGGUUUUUAACCUUCAAAAAUGCUAAAAUUUUCAAUUUAAUAUUUCAAAAAUUAUAAAGGAUUGACUCAAAGUCUUAGGAUGCCAUUUUUUUCCAAGAUCUAGAACUUGGAAACUUCCUACGAAAUAGUAAGGACCAUACUAUUGGCACAACAAGUGAGAGCUGUAUGAUUAUUUAUACUUAAAACUCAUUUCCUGGUUUGCACUGAGUUCUUCAUUCCAAUCUUGUUUAAAAGAAAUUCAAGCCUUGUUAUAAUGGAUUGUUCCAUAUUCUCUACUUCAUCUAAGCUUUUGAUUUUUUGUACUUCCUUGCUGUUUAUCAUCUUUUUCAUGUGUCUUAAUGUAGACUCUGUCACUGCAACUGAGUCUGAUUAUGGGCUUCACUGUGAUCCAGUUGUUCAUGAAUCAAAACUAGCUGAUGAGGAGUUCAACAUCUCACCAUUUCCUGGACGUCAAAAUGGUUACUACAGUGGUGGGGAUAAUGUCCUGAACCGUAGCUCCGAUGGGUAUUACUAUGGACCUGCGUCGAAAGUUCUCGUUUUCGAAACACACCACGUUUAUAAAACAAAUGCUGAGGAUGUCUUUAAGGUUGAAGGAAACUUGAUCUUCGAAACCUCGUAUUACUAUGAACGAAGUUUCUCCAAUGGUAGGGGAUACUACCAUUCGUAUUCAAGUGAUUCGAGUAGUCGCGGAGCUCUGGAGUUCGAUUUACAUGGCUUCUGGUCCAGAACGACCGGGAAGCUUUGCAUGGUGGGAUCAGGCUACUCUUACUCCAAAGAAGGUAAUGUGCUCCAUCUUGCAGCUGUUCUUAAGUUCAAUAAUGUCAAGAGCUCUAGUGAUAUCAAUACUCUGAUCACUGGAACCAUGGAUAGCUUGAAUCCUGCCGAUGGACCGAAUUACUUUGAGCCAAUUUCGGUGUUGAUGUUUCCUCAAGGGAGUUACAAAUACACCAAGGUCGCGAAACAGUUUAGUCAAGGGUGCCCAGGGGGAACUGAUGUCCCCAAAAAGUCAUCCCUCAGCUUGUCAAGGACUAUAACUGUUUGUGAUAUGUUCUAUAGACAAACUGCUUUUGAAUUGGAAUAUGCAAGUGGUUGUGAUUCUUCAAAGAGUUGCAGUCCCUUUGGUGAUGGUAUUGGAUAUUUGCCUCGGUUCAUGCAUUUGAGGACGAUCCAGUGCUCGGAUGAAAAGCUAAGCUUGAGGUUUCUGAUAGAGUUUCAGGAUGAUGCCUAUACGAGGUAUUAUGCUUCUUCCAAUUUCAGUACUUCUUUAAUUGGAGAAGGAUCUUGGGAUGCAAAGCAGAACCGGCUUUGUAUCAUUGCUUGCCGGAUCGAAGAUGCAUCAAGCAGCUCCUUGGAGAAGUCUCAUGUUGGGGACUGCACAACAAGGUUGAGCGUAAGAUUCCCUGCAAUCCUAUCUAUCAGAAAUACAAGUACUGUUGUGGGUGAAAUUUGGAGUGACAAGCACAAGAAUCAAUCUGGUUUCUUCAAUAGGAUCAUGUUCCGGAAUACUGACAAUAACCGGGGGCAAUUUCAACUUCAAGGCUUGAAGUAUGAGUACGUGGAAACUGACAAAGUGAAUAAGUCAUGCCCAAAGAAGAGUAGUAAUAGGAACAGUACUGAAGAGCACCUAGAUGGCUAUUCUCAAGACAUGGCUUUUAGUAUGUCAAUCAAAUAUCAAAAGAGAAGUAUCGGAUGGGGUUCUUCCAAUCCUCUUGCAGUCGGCGAUCAACCUCAGCAGAGGUUUCCCCUUCUAAUACCAUCCUCAAGCUCAAGACCUAAAAGUGCUGGUGUUGAAUCAAUUGCCAGUGGUAGCUUGCUUAAUAUCAGCUAUAAGAUGAGAAUUGAGCUAAAUAAUUUGAAAUUGGAUCAUGGCCUCAAUUCAUUUAACCAAUCUUCAAAUGGAUAUUUAGAAAUCCGAAUUUCUGCUGAAGGGGUUUAUGAUGCUGAAACAGGUCAUCUGUGCAUGGUUGGCUGCAGACAUUUGAGGUCACUCAAUGGAUCAACGGACUGCGACAUCCUUGUAAAUGUUCAUUUUCCUCCAUUGGACUCAGAUAGGAAAGGAAGUAAAAUCAAGGGAAGUAUCGAGAGCACGCGUGUCAAAACCGAUCAUCUGCACUUCGAAACUUUGGAGUUUUCAGGACGAGCUUAUUAUGGUAGCUGGGCAAUGGAAUCAGUUUGGAGAAUGGAUUUCGAGAUGAUCAUGUCUGUCAUAUCCAACACUCUUGCAAUUGUCUUCGUAGUACUUCAAAUCUUUCAUGUGAGGAGGCUCCCUGCUGUUUGUCCUUCGGUUUCAUUUCUAAUGCUUGUCAUCCUAGCCCUGGGACACUUGAUGCCUUUGGUUCUAAAUCUCGAAGCAAUGUUCAAUCAAGAUAGUGAACGAACUGUCUGGGCAAGAAGCGGAACAUGGCUAGAAAUGAACGAGGUGGUCAUUAGAGCAGUCACAAUGGUGGCUUUUCUGAUGCAUUUCCGUCUUCUGAUGCUCUCAUGGACUGCUAGAUGUUCUGAGGGAAAGAACAAGCCCUUGUGGAUUGCGGAAAAGAGGGGGCUCUAUGUAUGCCUUCCUGUAUACAUAGCCGGAGGCUUAAUCACUGGCAUCACAAGACAGCAUUCGUCAUACUACAUAGAGCAGACCAUUUUAGGAGGUUCAAGAGCAUAUGCUGGUUUGAUCCUUGAUGCCUUUCUUUUCCCCCAAAUCAUCUUCAACAUGUUCUUAAACUCGAGAGAACCAGCUCUUUCUCGGUUCUUUUAUAUCGGAAUCACCCUUGUUCGCAUGGUCCCUCAUGGAUAUGAUCUCUACAGGGUACACAACUAUGUUGAUAUGAACGACUCGUACAUUUAUGCAGAUCCUACUGCAGAUUACUACUCAACCGCUUGGGACAUCAUUAUUCCUAUGUUGGGCCUGUUCUUUGCUGCAAUCAUAUACUUCCAACAGCGCCUCGGCGGUCGUUGUUUCCUUCCAAAGCGGUUCUGUGAAUCAGCGACAUAUGACAAGCUUCCAAUCGAUUCAGAGGAGCAAUCACCGUUGAAAUCUAGCCCCUAGAGGUGACAGCUUGUGUUACUACUACUUGUGCUUACCAUGAAAAUGUUCCUGUGUUCUGUUUCCGAAAUAAUUCUGUAAACUCGUCUGUUGUAUUGUAAGUUUCCAAAGUCUAAUGUAAUCUAAACAGUUAUGUAUCAUGAAACCAGUAUUUAUAUCCGAUGCAUAUUCAGCCACAGGUACUCGAGAUUGCAGGUAUAAUCCUUCAAAAUUCGAAUACAUGGAAAAACUUGGAAAAUAGAUAUCAACUUGAAACAUCAAACUGAUUCAUGGUUUUAAAUAUACACUUGUUUCUGUCUUUUUAAUGAUCAUUACAUGUAAUGUUUUUAUGCAUCUUAAAUGCAUUUCCGACAAACAGGGCAUGUUAGAUGAUUCUUGAGCCAAUGAUCAAUGCAACUCAAAUGAAACAUAUGUUUACAAUCAGGGAAAACCCUGCACGAUUCACCAACCACAUAAUCGUCCAAGCAAAUCGGGCACUCGCUCGAUUUCAAUGCAUGAUUAUCCACCCCAUAAGCCAUUGGUGGCAAUAGUUUCUCCAAGGCCUGUUGCCUCAACAACAAUCUCCCAUUUAUGCUCUCUGGGAAACCUUCAAGCAUAUCCAAUGGUUGCACGUAGUUAACGAUUAUGGCACGGUAAGUCGCAGUCCGGACUCGAUGAAUCCCUCUCCUUAGAAUAUCGGAAAACAACUUUUCGAAUAUCGGCCAACUGAGACAUUCGCAGAUGACGUAGAUGAAUAUGAAGACGAACGAGGUAGCAAUGAUGCAGGCUCCAACAAUGCAGGAUAAUAAGACAAUAGCAAUGCCAAGGGCUGUAAGAGAAGAUAUUAUAAGAGGUAAAUUUAAUGAAUGGACGGCGAAACUUAGCUUAAUCAUCCUCAUUAAUGUCUGUUUUUUUUUCUUUUUUUUGGCUUGAAAAUUGUCUUAAAAGACACCAAAAGCUUGUAGCUUUGAGUGUAAUGAAAGGAAAACAGGAGAAAAUUAUUUAAAUUGUUUGUAAGAGAUUGGAUUUGGGAUUCCAAUUUUAGGUAUUUGAUUCCAAAAGGUUGUUAUGUUUUUAAUGGAGAAAACUAUAACAGGUGUUUUGGGAGGUUUAUUUAGAUUCUGUCGUAUCAUUUUCCUUUAUAACCCAGAAAAAUGAAGCUGUAAAACCAGAUUUUCUUGCAAAAUUAGAAAAUAUAUAUAGAAAAAAACAAACUAAUCAUUAGUAGUUUUUACAUGUUUGACAUCUAAGAAAAUAUCCUUUUGAUUCUGAGAAUCAAACUAACAAUUAAAGACGUUAAAGAAAAUGAAAAAUAUAUAAACGACAUGUUUAUAUUAGCAUUAGCGGUGUGCAUGGGCCGGGCUACCCGGCCUGGCCUGAAGGCCCGCCCGAAAUGUGGGAGCGUUUGGGUAAAAAUAUAAGCCCGAAAAAUAUGCUUGGACAAAAAAAUAAAGCCUGUUUAAAAAAUGGGUCGGGCCUCUGGUAAGAUAUUUUUAGCCCGGGUCCGGCCCGGCCUGGCCCGGCCCGAAUUCACUAGAAGACAAAAAAAAUCUGCAUUUUUUUUUUAUUUUUGAAUGUUAUUUUCUUGUUGUUUUCUCCAUAUUUUGCUACCAUUUUACUAUUAUGUUGCUAUUAUUUUGUUGUUAUUGUUUAGAUAUUGUAUAAAAUUUAUUUUAUUGUUAAUUUUCUUAUUAUUUUAAAGGUAUUUGUUAAUUUUUUUUAUUAUUUUAGAAGCAAUUACUUAUUAAGUUGCAUUUAUCUUAGUAUUAUUUAAGUCUACAUAUUUUUCAAAAUUUAUUUUCAAUUUGUUGGGAAAUAUUUAUUUUGAUAUUUUUAGUAUUUUUGAUGUAUUAUUUAUAUUUUAAAAAAUAAUAAAAUAAUAUAAAAAAUUAAUACGGCCGGGCCAGGCCGGGCCCGAGUUUUAGUAUUUUUACCCGGGUCGGGCUUGGGCAAAAUUUUAGGCUCAUUUUUUGGGCCCGGCCCGGCCGAGCCCAAUAAAUGGGCAUGAUUUUUUAGUUGAGCCUGACCCGAACCCGGCCCGACCCGGCCCAUGAACACCUCUAAUUAGCAUAUAGGGCAAGCCUGGGAUAGGUAGGAGUGUUCACAGGUUGGUUAAAAUUGAAUUAAUUGACCGAAUCAAUUUAAUUUGGUAAAUCGGUUGGUGGUCAAAUUUAAUUAGGUCAGAAGUCGGUUAAUAAUUUUUCUAAAGUCUUAUUUAAUGUAUUCUCCUCUAUUUAAAGUUUUUUGAACUAUUAAAUAAAAGAAAAUGAAUAUUAACAAUGUAUUUUUUUAUAUGUUUUAUACUUAUUUUAACCAAAAGACAAAAAACAUAUAAAUUUUGGUUAAUCGAUAGAAUUAAGCGAAAUAUUUCGGUUCGAUUAUUGUAUUUGAAAAAUUUUUCAGUUCGAUUAUAAAUCAAGUUGAGGCUGUGUGGGGUUAUAUAACACAACCGUGUGGGGCUAUACACACAAUCGUGUCCCUAAGCCAUGUAGCAGUCUAAUGUCGUGAAAUCCAAGGUCAUACGGUCGUACCGCUAGUCCGUGUAACUCACUAUGGCUAUAUCAAUUAAAAACUAACCUAAAUAUGUAGCACACACGGUCGUGUCAAUCACCCAUGUGUGAUACACGACUGUAUGAUAGCUCGUGUGCAGCAUUAAUUACCUAUUUGAGCAAGUUUCAUACUAUCCAAAAUGGCCUAUAAUAUCAUUUUGUCAUUAAACUAAUACCAAAACAUACACAGUUCCAGACCAAAAUAUCAAUUCACAUAAUCAUUUAAAUAUACAACCAAUACACCUUUAUUGGCACUAACAAACAACAAACCCAAAUCAACCAACUGUCAUGUUUUAACUAUCUCAUUUCUCAACUUCAACAAUGUCAAAUAUAACAUUUACUUAUCACAAACCAAAGUCUAUAGUUAUUUCAUACCACCAUCUAAAUCAUAUGCAUAUUGCCAUACAAAACAUCAAACUUGACAUUUACCGUAAAUCAAAUAUCAAACCACAAACAUAAGCUUAUAUACUAAGCUAUUAUACCAAAGUUCAGACUAUUGUAAUACGUUAAUCCAACCUAUGUAUAUGUCACAAAUAACCAAACUUGAAAUGUAAAAUGUGUACCGAAUUGGAAGACAAAAGAUAUGUGCUUCUCACUAAUCCAAUCGACACGUUCCAAACGUCCAAAAUCUAUAAAAAAAAGUAGUAACACGAGUAAGUACUAUAAAAUACUUAGUAAGCUCAUACAAUAUAAACAAUUAACUUACCUUAAUCACUUACCCAAAAAAACAAUUCAAUAUGGAACAGUCUCGCCUAUCAUGGCAUUCAAGCAACAUCAACCAAAUGAGGUUUAAGCCAAAUCCAUAUAUAUGUAUAUAGCUUCAAAUGGUGAAUUACCAAAUUCAACCCAAUGUAUACCAUGAAUUCAUUUUCUAAUUUAUCUAUUUGCUCACGUGCACCAUUCAAUUUGCAUCAUAUAUACUUAUCAUAAACAUUCAUUAAAUACAUAAGGUUUUAAGCACAAACCAUAAACAUAACCACAAUAGUUCAUAUAUCUAUCAUAACUAACUUUUAUUAACUAUCCAUGUUAUAAACUUUCUAUAAGAGCCUUAUUUUGCCCGGCCCAUUAGAAACCAAAAAAAAAAACCAAAUAAAGUCCCAAGACCAUUAAAUGUCCAGUUACAAAGUUAAAUCGGCCCAUAUUUCCAAAACCCAAUUACAAACCCAUUAACUUAAACCCCUAACCUAAUUUUUCUGGUGGCCUGAUUGGCCCAAAACUCAAGCCAUUUUUUUGGAAAACUAGGAAACCCUAGUUUCCCCCUGGCGCCGUAGCCCUCCCACGUGCUUCGUCGGCACACCCAACACCCGAGGCCUGGUUCCCUUUUUUCGAUUGCACUAAAAUGGCAAGAACCUACCCCCGUUGACUUCGCCUACGCUUGCAAAAUAGAAACAAAAAGAAAGCAAAGAAGCAGAAGCAUAGCAAAACAGUAACAAACAGUAAAAGAAGGCCUUUGUAUUCGGCUAUAAGAGAACCUCGAAAAAAUAAUUUCUUUUACGUUACAAAAAGAAAUCAAUCAAAAAAUCGAAGGAUAUUCGGCUGAAAAGGUGGUCUUUCGUUCUGUUCUUACACAUUUUUUACAAAUUUAUUUAGUAUAGUUUGUGUACAUACAUAAAAAAGAGAGGAAUACGAUCGGUCUUACCUAUGUCGAGUUGGGGAAGUCGGAAUCGGAAGGUUCCUUUGGCUUUCUCUGACUUGCUAGGAGGUUUUUGCGUGUUUGGGGUUUAGAUUUGAGGUAAGGAGAGUGAAAGGGUUAAAAAGGGAUCUGUUUAGUACCUCUGGUCGCCGUGCACGGCGGUCGCCGGCGACGGACGAGCGGUAGUCCGAUCGCCGGAAACAGAGGCUCCCAAAAAACCCAAAACUCCCUUCCUUUUUUUUUUUUGUUUUAAAGCACAGCUGAAAUGAAGUUUUUGAAGAAAAUUUAGUCUUUUAUAAGAAGUAUAAAACGGCGUCGUUUAGGGCCGUUCCCAUGGCCUCAAAACGGCGUCGUUUAAGGACCCAGACCCGAAAUCCGACCCUAACCCGGCCUAGGAUCCGCGCGUUUUGGACUGAGGGUAUAUUUUCGCCCUCAGUCCUUCCGGUUUUGAGGUUUGGUUCAAUAGGGUCCAAUUCUUUUUUUAUUUCUAAUUUUUCCCCUGAAAUUUCCUUAAUAUUUUAUUCGGGUCCCUGAUAGAACUGCGCGUUUUGGGGGAGACGGGUUUAUUACCCAUCUGGUCCUCCCAUAUCAUUCGCGUUUUCAAAUUGGUCAUUCUCUCUUUUAUUUUUCUUUCAAAUUUGCCAUGAAUAUCUGUUUAAAUUUUAAAUUGGUCAAUGUUCGUUCUUUUUGCUAUUUUAUUAAUCAAUUAAAUAUCAUUGUUUUUAAUUAUAUUUUAUUUUUAUGCUUGUUAUUUACUAUUAUUAUCAUUAUUACUUUCAUUCUCUUGUUGUAUUAUUUACAUUAUAUUAUUGUUAGCAAUAACAACAAAAAUCUUUUUAUGAGAUAACAUACGACAUAUGAUGUCAUUCCCAUCAUGAACAUUAAAAAAUUUGAAACUUUCCUCUGGAAAAAUUUGGGAAAGAAGUUGUUUCUGCAAAUAAACAAGUCCAUGUUUCUCUGCAAUUUGACGAACAUCGGCCAGAAAGCUUUUGCCUUCAAAACGACUUGAAAUUUGGGUAUAAACAAAUCUUGCGAGAGUUGUUUUACCUAACCCGCCCAUUCCACAAAUCCCUAUAAUCUGAACACUAUCAUCUUCCUCCCCUAUGCCUAUUUUGCAAUUUAACUCUUCCAAACGUGAUUCAAGUCCAAUCAUGUCAGUAGGAGCACUUGCAAAUGUUUGACAUAAUUUUGUUGAUACCUUUUUAAUGAUUUCUCCAAUAAGUUCUGAUUCAUGCCUUCAAAUACAAAGCAAAGGAAAAAGCUUAGUGAAACUUUAAGGGCACAAUCCUUAGCUAAUGCCUCAAAUUUCAAACUUGAUGCUGGUAAGAUAUUAUUGAAGUGAAAGAAUAUGAUAGUUACCUGUUACUCAAGUGCCAUCCUUUGAUGUUAGCUACUUGAGUUAAAGCAGAUCGCCACCUUUGUGUCCUCUCUUUGUUGUCCUGGAAAUUAUUUUCAUGCUUAAGAAAAGCUUCUUGAACUUUUCCGGUUUGUUUUCUCAAAUCAGAUGGAUCCACGUAAUAGAAAAUGGGGAAGACAUUAUGUCCCUUGUCGUUUUUCUGUUGAAUAAUCUCGGAAAGCUCUUCUAGGCACCAACUCGAAAAACAAUACCCUUCCGAUAAAACGAUUACAGAGCACCAUGACUCAUGAAUUGCUUUGAAGAGCUCAGGUGCUAUGGGUUCACCUGUCUCGAGCUUUUCGUCAUCCCUAAAAGUGAUGAUUCCUCUCCUUUUGAACGCAGCAUAAAGAUGAUCCGUGAAGUUCUGGCGGGUAUCCUCACCUCUAAAACUCAAGAAAACGUCAUAUUUCCCUCGAGAAGUAGAAGAUGGUGAAAACAACGAAGGAGAUGACGAUGAUGAGGAAGAUGUCUCACUAUCGAAUCUAACCAUUGGCGUUUAGCAGCUAAAUUCAAAAUGAUGUUGACGAGGGUGAGACAAACGGACAGAGAAGGAAGAUAUAUCUCAAUCGUUGGGAUUUAAUUAGCAUUUACAGGUUUUUAUGGUUCUUUUGUCACGGAAAAGCUGGCCAAUUGGUACACCUUUAAACAAAAGAAUAGAUGAAAUUCUAAACUUUGAGAACUGCUACUCAAAGAAGGUUGAUGGAGAGUGAAUAACUAGGCUGCUUUUUUAUUUAAAUGACCCAAAAAAUUAAUUAAUUAUCAAAAUAAUUUUUUUUAAUUAAACAGUAAAAUAACUUGAAAUUUACUGUAAAAAUUAGUAAAGUCAAAUGAUUUGGCGGCAUCAAUAUGUCACAUCAAUAUCUAUAAAAAAAUUAAUUUUUUGGUGUAACCAUAUAAAAUAACAUUACCUGUAUAAAUAAUAUUAAAAUAUUAUAAAUUCUAAAAAUACGAGGGAUUUCAAAAUGAAUUUAUCAUUUUCUGGUCAACUCAAUUAAUAUGGCGACACAGACACCACUUUUUUUUUUUUUUUUUACGUUUGUCAUUUCUGUGACAUUUGUUUUUAUUUAUUUAUUUUUAUUAUUAAUUUUAAAAAAACUUAAAAUGUAUAUUUGAAAUGUUUUAUAUAUAUAUUUUAAAUUUUGAAUAUAUAUUUCAGAAAUUAUUUUUCUAAAUUUUAAAUAUUUUUAAAUUAUUUUUAAAGAUUUUAAAGAUUAUUUUUUAAAUAUUAAAUAUAUUUUUAAUAAUAUAAAACAUUAAAUAUUUUAAAGAUAUGAGCUUUCAAAUUUAUUAUUAGUUUUAUAAUAUUUCAAAUGUAUAUUUGAAAUGUUUUAUAAUAUAUAUUUUUUAAAUUUUAAAUAUAUAUUUUUAAAAUUAUUUUUUUUAAUUUUAAAUAUUAUUUUUAAAUUAUUUUUUUAAAAAUUUAAAUAUUUUUAAAUAUUAAAUAUAUUUUUUAAUAAUAUAAAAUAUUUAAAUAUUUAAAGAUAUGAACUUUCAAAUUUAUUAUUAGUUUUAUAAUAUUUUAAAUGUAUAUUUUAAUUUGAUUUAUAUAUUUUUUAAUUAUGAAUCUUAAAUAAUUUUAAAUUAUAAUUUUUAAAUUAUUAUAAAAUAAAUUAAAUAAUAUUAAAAAUAUUAAAAACUAAUAAUAAAUUUGAAAGGUCAUAUCUUUAAAAUAUUUAAAUAUUUUAUAUUAUUAAUAAUAUAUAUUUAAUAUUUAAAAAAUAAUAUAUAUUUAAUAUUUAAAAAAUAAUUUCAAAUAUACAUUUCAAAAUUUUUAAAAUUAAUAAUAAAAAAUAAGUAAAAUAAAUAAAAUAAAAUAAAAUAAAAAUAAAAACAAAAAAAGGGGACGAAAGUAAAAAAGUAAAAAAGAAAAAAAAAGGUGGCAGGUGGUGUCUGUGCCGCUAUAUUAAUUGGCUCCACUAGAAAAUGACAUUUACUUUGAAGUCCCUCAUAUUUCCAGAACUUGUAAUAUUUUCAUGGUAUUUAUAUAGAUGGCGUCAUUCUACAUAGCUCCACAAAAUUUUUUUUUCUUUUUAUAGAUGCUGAGGUGGCAUGUUGAUGGCGCUAAAUCAUUUAGCUCCACUAACUUUAACUGUAAAUUUCAAAUCAUUUUAAUGUUUAAUUAAAAAUAAAUUAUUUUAAUAAUUAAUUAAUUUUUUUAAGUUAUUUAAAUAAAAAAAGCCCUAACUAGGCUCUUAAGAGUACGAUGGCCAGGCCAUACGGGCGGUUAAAUACUAGACAUUAUCAGCACAGUGUAAACUAUAAUAAAAUAUUGCAAUGAUUACAAAGGACAAACAAUGAUGCUGGCAUGGUUAUUCAGAGGACAUUUACUAAUAAUAUUUUAGUGAAAAAAAUGAAUAGAUUGGCAGUAAGUUAACAUUUAAGUCUAUUUGUUUCAUCUUUAACCAAAAACGAUAUUCGAUAUUGCCCUAUAAAUUUGAUCUUUGACUAAACAGACAUUAAAAUAAGGAUAGGAAGCAAAUACGAACCAUAGUAAUCCUUUCCCUCAAUAUCAAGAUUGAGACAUGUUGAUGCAAUGAGCAUUAAAUUGCGUUUGCUAUGAUGGAUUUUUCGUUUUGAAAGUCAAGAGAUUUCCUCUCAAUGUUUAUUAUUAUUAUUAUUUGAAAGUUUAGAGAUUUACUAUCAUGGUUUUUCUUUUUCUUUUUUUUUUUUUAAGUUUAUAGAGACCCUUACGAAAUUGACAUAUUAACUAAACAGACAAUAAAACAAGGACAGGAUGCAAAUAGUUAUCCUUUAACAUCCGUCUCAUGAUUGAGACAUUUUCAUGCAUUAAAUCGAUAUAUUAAACGUAACCAUAGUUAGAUUACGUUUUUCACUUCGAAGGCUAAGAGGACAAAAGGUAUCAGAAUUGCGAAGUAAAUUCCUAAAUGGGAGUUGAUGGGGCAAUGAACACCCAAAAUUAACAAAUGUAUUAAACUCUAUGGCCUUAUAGUAGUUUUAACUAAGAAAGAUUUGACACCAUUAAGAGUAGGUGUUAGUCACAAGUUUCAAAGUUAUUUUAUAGUUAAGUUAAGGAUUGAACCCUUUACUACUAAUUAAGAUAAGAAAGACCUUUUUCAUUUCACCUAACUCUCUGAGAUUAUAUUCAUUUAGUUUUAAAAUUUUUAUUAUUUUAUGGUGCAUAUGUAAGAAUUAUAAAGUAAGUGCGCAUCUGGAUUCGUUGGAAAUCAAGAUGGCAACAUAACAUUGAACAAGAAAUCAGAUCUCAAGAUGAUAAUGAGGAGAUAUUAUGUCUUGAUUUUUAUGCAUCCUUAAGACAAUAAUGUGUAUGUUGGGUUUUUUUGGCAGCAUCAAAUUGGUUGAUGGUAGUUUGCCAUUAGAGAGGCCUGAUAAUGAUAAGAUUAGGGUGUUGUUAUCAAGAAUUAAUUAAAGUGAUGGAUCACUAUUAAUUAUUUGGAUUUAUAACUUUCUUUUAUUUGGUUGUUUUUGAAGAAAAUAACAAUUCUGCAUUAAUUUAUAAUAUUUUAAUAAAAAUUUGUAACAUAUAUUAUUGCUAAUUUAUAUGUAUGUGUUGAAAAAAACGUAAUUUAAGAAAGUAAGUUGAAAUUUUUGAAAUAUAUUGAUAUAAUUAAGUUGUUUUUAGAGAGAGAAAGGAUGAUGUUUUUUACGGGGUGUGCUUUCAGUCAUGUCUGUUGAAGAUGUGUCGUAUAAUAUGUGUUUUUACUAAAAAUUAACAAAUUAUUUCUUUUAGUUAGAUAGUUAAAUGUUAGUAUUUUUUUAAUUAAUAUUUUUGACAUAUUAGCUCUUUUGGUUAGAUGGUUAGAUAAUUGUGAUUUCAUCCUUGAGUCCUAAAUUCAAUUCUUCUUAUAAAUAUUUUAAUAUGUAUUUUUUAUUUCAUGUUGUUUCAAGUUUUUUUAAUUAAUAUUUAUAAUUAAUAAACAUAUUAUUUUCUAAGUUUUUUUUUGAAUUAAUAACUCUUUUAUUUGUAAAAUCAAAUAAUAAAUAUGUAAUUAUUUUUUAAAAACAUCAAUUAAUUCUUUAGAUAUAUUUUUCUGUAACAGCCGAUUUUUCAAUGGUGUCAGAAAUAAUAAUUUUGGGACCACAAGUCCGACGAGUAAAUUUAUAUAAUUAGUAUUUAAAUUAUACGAGUCAAUAAUAAUUUUUAUAAUGAAUUUUGAUUUGAGAAUUUUUAACUAAUUGAAUUAAAAGUUAGUGGUUCAGUUCAAAAGACAAAUGGUUAUUAAAAACGAGGUAUUAGGCAGUGCCUAUGGAAGUGGUAGGGAUCAACAACCUCAAAAAUGUCAUUUGGCAUCUUCAUUUCUUCUUCUUCUUCUUCUUUUAUUAUUAAAUAGCUACGAUAAAUGCUUUGGGUAUAGAAUCUGCCAUGGCUUAGGGAUAAACGGUGCUGUGUUGUUGCUAUUGUAGUGGAGUUCGAGUUCAAACCAAUGGUCAUAGGAGUUGGGAGACUAGAUUGGUAAUAAAAAAAGGUACCUCAUUGUGAUAUUUCCACAAACAAUUGGGUUGCAAUAUUUGUUUCUAGUUUUGGCAUAGACUGGAAGGUAGAGGAGUUGUGGAUUCCAUUGUCGUUUGGAUUUGGGUUAAUUCCGCUUCAAAAUUUCUAUUAUAACUUGUAAUCCAUUUCAUUAUUAAAAAAUAAUAAAAAAAUGCUAAUUAAAUGAUUUUAACCAAUGGUAUUUUCCGCCUAUAAAAAAAUUGAAACACAACUUGUACGGAAAAGAUAAAUCUAUAUGAAAGGAAAUGGAUAAUAAUAUAUAGAGCUAGGAGAGUAGUCGACGGUUUACAAUAUCUGAUUGACAAGAUUCACAAAAUAGAGUAAUUUUCCCCUGGUGAUCACCUGCUUUCGCAUUCAACCUGGAAGCAAAGCACGAAGAUAUGAAGUAAAUCAGCCUUACAAAACAGGAGACAAUAGCAUAUAUCAAUCAUUGAAGAUUUGCGGAAUACAAUGAAAAUAAGUGAAAGCUUAACCAUUUUUUUUUGACGGGGGAGCCGAUAUUAUUCUCGUUUGAUCCGUCAUUUGAAUGGAUAUCAUCAAAUUUUGAAGAAGUUGGCUCACUAUGCUCAUUUAUGGUAUGAUCCAUCUCUUCCAAAUCUUUCUCAUGCACUAUUCGAGCUCCACAUUUCUUCACCAAGGAAUCGAUGCCAAAGAUGUUUACUACAACCUCCAUUUGAAGUGGAGUAGCUAAUUUCCUCAAGGAAGACAAAUUUAUUUUGGCACAAGGAAAAUAAUGUAUCCAAAGGUGAUCCUCGGUCACCCUUGUAGAGUUCCCUUUUAAAUGACAGAAAGAACUUUCAACUUGUCGGGAGUACUUUCUGUUGUUCUAAUAGGGUUGGAAGCGUGUAAAUUAUUGUAUUAAAAAAUCACACAAAGUUCAAUUUAUAAGAAAGAGAGGUGGAUCACAAGGAUCUCCUAAGUACCAAGUCUUUCCUUAGUCAGAAUAUCCCUUCUAUCGUAAUUUAAUAGCACAAUUAAAUACUACUAUUAUACCCUCAAAUAUUGAAAGAAAAAUAGGAUAAGAAAGAAUACAAGAGUUGUUUUAACGAGGUUCGGUAAAUUAUACCUACAUCCUCAGGCAUUAACACCAGACGAUAACUUCACUAUCUCCAAAAUAUUACAAACAAAUAGAACUCCUUAAGAAUUCUCAAACGGGAGAAGAGAGAAAACUAAAAGAGAAAGAAUGGUUGGGAUUACAUGAAAUGAGAAAUGGGAAGACCUAUUUAUAGUUGAAAUUUAAUGAUCAAACCAUAAAUAGCCCAUUACCUCAAGGACCAAAAAAGAAAAUAUCCCAUGCCAAAUUUUUCAAGUAAAUUUUCUGUGCCAAUUGCACCUCCUAUUUUUUGACAUUUAAGUCAAACUUGAUGGCUGCCAUAAAUGUUAAUAAUCUGCCAUGCAAUUUGAUGCUGCAAAACCAUGCAAUUUUCAACAAUUUACCAUGCAAUUGUCAACAAUUUCUACCAUGGAUAACAGUUCUGUAGGAAAUAUGCUCCCCCUCCAAGGUUUAUUAUUGAAGUCAGAGAAGAAAAGACAGCAGAAAGCAAAUCCUAAGAACUAUGUAUCAUUCAGAAAAUUGGGAGGCAAUUGCAUCUCUAUUAUAGAUUUUGAAGAGACAUCCGUUUGACUGCUAAACCAUACUGGGAUUUCACUUCCUGGUAUGAAAAUGUCAUAAUAUUUUUUUCUUGCAUUUGCAACUGUCUGCAAACAAAGACACUUUUGCUUAAACUUGUACCAUAGGGAGCAAUAAUAGCAAAAAAUAAAGGUUCUAACCUUCAGACGUGUCUUCAGCAUUGUUACUGCAUUGUUACCCUCUGCCAAUUUGAAGCAGUUAAAAGCACAAAUAUAUAAACUAAGCCUUGAAGGGCAAGCUGUUGUUGACUGUGCAACUACUUCCAAUGAAGCACAACCAUCUAUCCAUAAAUCUAAGCCGGCUGGAAGCUCAGGCAAUGACUUAAGCCUUUUGCAAUCAGUCAGAAAUAGACGAGUAAGCUUGGAAAGUUGACUAAGAGUUGCAGGUAGGGUGGUGAAAUUGUUAUCACUAAGACGUAAAUUUUCCAACAAGGAUAAGCAGCAAAUAUCAUUAGGAAUAGCCCCCUCAUCAAGGUUGCAAUCACUUAAAUUCAGCUCUUUUAAAGUACUCAAACCUGACAAAAGUGCAGGUAGCCUCAAAGUCGUACAGUUCCAACUAGGACUUUUUUUUGCGCUCGAAAUAAAAGGCCAAUAUGCUCGUACUCUAGAUGGUGGUCCCUUGCAUCCUCGAAAGGACAAAAACUUCAAAUUUUUCAUAUGAAAAAUGAAGGACGGUGGUGUUGUUAUGGCAGUUCCGCUCAAGUCAAGCUUCUCCAAAGAUUUUAUUUGCUGCAAAUUCUCUGGCAAAUUUUCUAGCUUGGAACAACCAGAGAGAACAAGAGUUGUGAGGAAUUCACAACCACCUAUGCUGCUUGGGAGAUUCUCAAGCUUACAACAAUCGUUCAGAUUUAACAACACAAGACUCCUGAGAUGUCCAAUUGAAGAGGGAAGUUCGUUAAUACCAGUCCCAUCUAAAUGAAGCUUUUUCAAACACUCCAUUUCUCCCACAACCUCUGGAAUCCAUUUUAUAUUUGAACAACCUGAAAGAAUUAAUGUUUCAAGAGAUUCCUUUCCAAUUUUGGAAGGGAAACUCCUAAGCUUUUGCAGUUUCUUAAAUUCAAAAGCUUAAGCCUCCUUAGAAACCUGAUGCUUGGAUGAAAAUCUGCUAUUCCAGUACCUUCCAAAACCAAACUUUCAAUGUUUGGGACCAUUCUGAAAUCUGGUGUUUUCACAAGAUUUCUAGAGCAUUUGAGGUCGACCAAUUUUAACUUAUGCAAAGGCUGUUGGAAAAAAAACAAUAGAAAAACAAAGAAUUGAAAUGUCAUUUUCUUUUUUGUUUCUUCGCUAUCUGUGUUAGGCAAAUAAUUGAUAAAACAAUGUAGUUCCUACCAUGUCUGGCUUCCAUAAUUUUUGAAUGAAGCUAUAAGGCAGAAGAAGUGCAACAAGCUUUUCUGGUUGGAAGCUUGAAGGGAAGGAUUUGAAAGGAUACCCAUGCCACUCCAAAAGUCUUAACUCGUUGCUAAGAUACUUAAUAUCACGAGAAUUUGGGGCAUUCAAGAAUCUGAGCAAUCUUAACCUUUUUAUCUUCAAGAAGGCAUCAGCACUCAAAGUCCAAGUGUUCUGUUUCCUGAUAACCACCAAAGGAAAAAGAGGAAUGAGCUUUACAAUAUACAAAGUAAUCAACUACAUAUACACAGAUAGGUGUAUGAAUUUAAACCUGAUAGAAUCGAUGACUAGACCUUGAACAGCUUCCUUUCCUGAAAAUUAAAGCAAUCAACUAAUUAAUAUGGUAAAUUUAAUGACUUAACAGUACAAUGCACGUCCAAAAAUAGUUCAAAGCUAGACUUGCAUCCUAGUAUUGUAUGAAUCAACAAAUAUUCAAGGGUGGAGUAACAGUUAUUAGUGCUAAAGACUUACAGUGUUUUUUAUUAGCACGUAAUAAGUAUCCUUUUCCUCCCACAAUCUGCAACGUUUUCCAGCUUCAUUAGGAGAUUCUUGGUAAACAAUUUUCCUUCCCAUCUUUUGUAACAAUUCAUGCAUCGACAAUUUGUUGUUUUCAUCAAUUGUUAUAAGAGAUUUCUUGAUGAGAACAUAUAUUCCAAUAUCUGGGAAAAAGCCACAACCAUCAAGAAUUUUGGUUACCAUAUCUUUGUCUUCUUCGUUGAAGAUGCAUGCAAUAUCUAAAAAUAUAUCUUUCUUUGACUGUUCUAACCCAUCAAAGCUUAUUUGAAGCUUGUCUAGAAUUUCUUUGUUGUACUCCUUUUUAAGUCUUUCAAUAGCACUUCUCCAUUGAGCUUCAUCUGAUCUGCCAGAUAGAAAAGAACCAAAAACUUCAAGAGCUAACGGAAGGCCAUUGGCAUAUUCCACUACACGUUCAAAAAGCUCAAAAAAUUCCUUUGCAGGUGUUUCACUUUUGAAAGCUUUCAAACUGAAAAGGCAAAGUUGUUGAAGUUUGCCUCUAUAUAGCUCAUGCAACCAAGGAUAAAUUCAUGCAACGUAAGUUAUGCAGAUAAAGUAUGAAAAAGUAGAUCAAGCUGCUGUAACAUUGCCAGAUGAAAUACAUGCAACUGAGGAUGUUAAUGCUACUGUUCUAUUUCAGUUUCAUUUUGUUACUUCAAUCAAUAUUUUGUAACUUAGUCAAGUUCAAACUAAGUGAAUGACACAAUUAGAUAGUAUUGAGCUGACAAAUCAGCUUGUUAAAGUGUACAAGCAAUGUUUUACAAGUUUCAAUGUUGCUUUGUGGUAGUAGGUGUUUGUUUAGGUGAAAUUUGUUCAUUUUGACUAGCUUGUGUCUAGUAUAUGUAUUGGCUUUUAGCCUUCAUUAAGUUAAUGAAAAUUCAUUAGAAUUUCAUCCAAAAAUACUCUCUCUCUUUCUUCGCUUUCAUUCUAUUUUUCAAGCUCAAAUCUACUAACUUGAAUUUCAAGUUCUCUUCGUUUUUUAUCCGAAUUUAUUACGUUGUUGCCCAAGUUUCUCACAGAGCUUCAUACUUCCUCCGGAUAAAUUAGUCACAAACCCCAACAAUUGAUAUCUAGAGCCUUAUUCUUAGUAAACCUGUCAUAUUUCAAUCCUUAAAACCAUGUCUUCCUUAGAAUUCUCACCAGCACCACCACUAGUAUUCAAUGGAGAGGGCUACCAUAUUUGGGUAAUGAAAAUGAAGACCUACCUGCAGGCAUUCGAUUUGUGAGAGGUUGUCAAAUUAGAUAUUGAACCAGCACCACUUAGAGCCAACCCAACAGUGUCUCAGAUCAGACAGCAUGCUAAUGAAAGGACCAAGAGGCAUAAAGCCAUGUCUUGCAUCCAAAAUUGUGUGUCAGAUGUAAUCUUCACAAGGAUCAUGGCCUGUGAUACACCAAAGCAGGCCUGGGACAAGUUGAAGGAGGAGUUCCAAGGGACUGAAAGAAUAAGGCAGCAACAACUUUUGAAUUUGAGAAGAGAGUUCGAGAACUUGAAGAUGAAGGAGGAAGAAACUGUCAAACAGUAUUCACAUAGGAUUAUGGCUGUGGUAAACAUCAUAAGAUUGCUUGGAGAAUAAUUCACUGAAGCAAGGAUAGUGGAGAAAGUGAUUUCAACCUUACCAGAGAGGUAUGAGGCAAAAAUAUCAUCCCUGGAAGAUUCAAGGGACCUGACCAGCAUCUCCUUGACAGAGCUAAUAAAUGCUCUCUAUGCGCAAGAGCAAAGAAGAGCCAGUAAACUAGAGGAGCACCAAGAAGGUGCCUUCCAAGCCAAAACCAAGCCAACCUCGGGCACAAAUGCCUACAAAGGCAAAAAGACCUGGAGAAACAAGCCUAAAGCAGAUGGUGAAAGAAGACAUCCACCCUACCCACAUUGCAGAAAGCUAAGUCAUCCGGGUGAAGUAUGUUGGUUUAGGCCUAAUGCGUAGUGCAAAUACUACAAGAAGAUGGGCCAUGUUAAAAAAGUUUGAAAAAAUAAGGGCAAACCAAGGUAGAAUAAACCACAACAGCCAAAGUGUAAUGGCCUAAAUUCAAGGUUAUCGGAACAAUGGUUUCGUAGCCAUAGAUCCGAUUUAAAGAGAAAUUUAUUUUAAUAUUUUUGCUUGAAAAUUUAUAUGAUAGGAAAAUCGUAUGAAAAUAUUGAUAGGAAAAUUUUAUUGAUUUAGUGAUUAGUUAGAAAAAGAAAUUAUUGAAGAAAUUGGGUAAAAUAAGGUAUCGGGACCUCUAUCUCAUAAAACCGAGUCAAAAAUAAUUUUAUAAAUAUUUAUGAAAUGUUAUUAAUGUGGUAUUAAAAUUUCGUUAGGAAAUUUUAAUGUUUGGGUAGUCAAUUAAAUGAAAAGGACUAAAUUGUAAUAGGUGUAAAAGUUGCUAGAGUGAUUAAAUAGCUUAAGAGUCUAAUGAGAAAGGAUUUAAAAGGCAAUUAGACCCAAAAGUUAUUUGGGCUGGACGGCAAGGGUAUGAAAUCAGCAGAAAAAUUGAUAAAUUAAGGGUAAAAUUGGAAUAUUGCAAAAUUAACUAAAUAAAACUAGGACUAAAUAGGAAAUAUCUAGAUUUCUCUUCAAUUCCAGCAGCUAAAAACGCCAUAGGAGGGUUCUCUAAGCUGGUAUUUCAUAAUUUUUGCACCAAAUCCAGAAGAUUCAAAUACAAAGCUAGAUCGAGGAAAGGAAAAAGUUCGGGAUUAGUAGAUUUUUACUGUUUACAAACAAGUAUCAAGGUAAGUUCGUGUAACUUGAAUUAUAUUCUUAAAUGCUUGAGAUUGUAUGUUAUUGAUGUGAAUAUGAUUUGAGUGUUCAUUGUAUGAAAAUUAAUGAAACAUUGAUAUAUUUGAUAAAAUGGGAAGAAAUCCCGGUUGAAUGAAAGGAAAAUUCGAUGGAUCUCUGAAAAGGAAUUGACGGUAAAAAGGAUCUAGCCCGGACGGGUGAUCCUAUCCUGAUAUAACCCUCCCGAAGAAUAUGUGUAAAAUGGAUUUAGCCCGGACGGGUAAUCCGAAUUAGGGUCUGAAUUUAGCUUGGACUGGUAAUUCAGAUCCAAGCUCAUUAGAGUAAUUGUCGUUGCAGGGGAUUUAGCCUGGACUGGUAAUCCCGACAAUACUCUAUGAGUUUAUAUUGCAGGGGAUUUAGCCUGGACUGGUAAUCCCGCUGCAAGGUUGAGGUUCGCGGGAGUAUGCUCUCUGAAAUGGAUAUGUGCGCACAUGAAUAUGAAUUAACGGACCCGGAAUUGUACAAUAAAUGUGUACCUCUGAAAAUCCAUCGAAAUUUUGAUAAAUUCAAUAGGAUAAGUAUAAAAAAAUAACAAGGAAAUGGAAAUUAUGAUAUUGAUGAGCUCAUCAAUCAUGGUAUAUAUUAUUGGUACAUGGAAAUUAUUGUACUAACUUGAAUGUUGAGUUUGUGCAUAUUAGGGUAAUAAUGCAUUGAAUGGAUAUAUGGAGUUUAUUGUAUUGUAUUGAAAAUAUUAGGUAAGUAUAAUUCUUGUUACAUGAGCUUACUAAGCACAAAGUGCUUACCCCGUUUCCUUUUUCCCUAUUUUGUAGUGUUAAGAGCUCGGAGGUCGGAUUUGGUCGGAGACACAUCACACUGUCAACCUCAGGAUUGCGGUAUAUAAAGAAACUUUAUUUUGGAAAUCAAUGGCAUGUAUAAGCUAACAAAGUAAAUGUUAACGUGAAAUGAAUGUAAAGUUAGCCAUUAGUAUGGUUAACAAACCUGGUUAUAGAUAUGUGAUGACGUUAUCUUAUAUAAAUGCAUGAAUCUAUCAUGAAAAUAUGUUGAAUUGAUUUGGUUGAUGUGGAUUGGUCUCGAUUUAAUAUUACAGGGAAGGUUAGAUAUUUAUAAAAGGGCUAUAUUGAAUAUAAAAAAAAUUUAAUUCGUAAACUCCGGUAAUGCAUCGUACCCUAUUUCGGCAAUGAAUACGGGUAGGGGUAUUACACAAAGGCUGAAGCUCGAGUAGCUAAAGAGGGCAGUAACCAUGAAGAACAGGUCUUUGCAGUCUCUUGCUCGGCUACAAAAGAAAAAACCACAAAAGGUUGGCUGAUUGACAAUGGUUGCACAAACCACAUGACACCAAAUGCUACCAUUUUCAAGUCAAUAGACAGAAGUUUUAAAACCAAGGUGAAUGUGGAAAUGGCCACUUCAUCAAGGCAGAAGGUAAGAGAGAUGUGCUGAUUAGCACUCCCACAGGUAACAAGCUAGUUUCAAAUGUUCUUUUGGUACCUGAAAUUGAUAGAAAGCUGCUCAGCAUAGGUCAGUUGCUUGAGAAGGGCUAUACUAUAGUGUUCAAAGGCCAAGAGUGCCAAAGCAUAGAUCCAAGUGGAUCAAAGCUCAUGAUAGUAGCCAUGACAGAUAAAAGUUUUGUUGUUGAUUGGAAGAAAACCUCAAACUUAGCUUAUACAGCUUCUACUAAUGAAUCCAAGCUAUGGUAUCAAAGGCUUGGCCAUAUCAACUUCAGGUCCAUGGCUCAUAUGGUCAGGGAUGAUUUGGUUGAAAGCUUCACUAACUUAGUCAGAAAAGAAGAAGUUUGUGAGGUAUAUCAGAUAGGAAUGUAGGCCAGGUUGCCAUUUCCUUCAAACAAAGCUUAGAGAGCUUUUGAAAGACUACAACUUGUACACAUUGAUGUGUGUGGUCCAAUGAAGACUCAAUCUCCGAAUGGAAGUAGGUAUUUCAUCUUAUUUAUUGAUGAUUACUCGAGAUAUUGCUGGAUUUAUUUUUUGAAACAGAAAUCAGAAGUGGCUUUAAUAUUUUUGAAGUUUAAAGCUGCAGCAGAGACUGAAACAUGUUGCAAGUUAAAGACUUUGAGGUCAGACAAUAGGACUGAGUAUACUUCAUCCAGGUUUAAUACCUUUUGUGAUGAAGCAGACAUUAAACACCAGCUCACCAACACUUAUACACUUCAAAAAAAUGGUGUAAGUGAAAGAAAGAAUAGAAGCUUGAUGGAUAUGGUCAGGUGUCUGAUGUUUGAGAAGAAUUUGUGGGCUGAGGCAGCUAACACUGCUGUUUACAUUCAAAAUAUGCUCCCAACCAAGGCUUUGACUCAGAAAACUCCAUUUGAGGCCUGAUUCAGGUUCAAGCCAUCUUUAGCUCACCUAAAGGUGUUUGGUUGCAUAUGUUUUACACAAGUACUAGUUGUAAAAAGUGUGUGACAGCUCUAAUUUGACCCUAGUCGGGAAGUGGUUUUGGCACCACAAAACUGAGUCACAAAAUUAUUUAAAUACUCUUUUCUAUGUUUAUUAUAUGUACAGUAUCAUGUGUGAAAGUAUCAUGUCUAAAUUUUGUCAUUUGAAUGUGAAAUUAUGAAAAAAGACUUAUAUGAUAAAAUUGAAGAAUGUGUUAGGAAGAAAUGAGGUGACCGAAUAAUGCAUGGCUUAUUAAAAGGAAGGACUUGCAUGUUAAAUUGUCCAAUUUAAAGUUAGUGGCCGGCCAUGAUGAUGAUGAUUUGUAAUAUAUGCAUUUUAUAUAUAUAAGAAAUAUAAUUAUUAAAUGUUUUAUAAUAAACAUAAGGAAUUAAUAAAAGAAAAGAAAGCCAUACAUCCUUACCUUGUUCUUGCCGAAUGUUUGAGAAAGAAAGAAGAAAUAUGCUUUGAGGAUUUCGGCAAUGUAGCAAGCUAAAAAUUUAAGGUAAAUUUCAUGUAGUUUUUGUUAAUUUUUAAUAGAUGUGUGAUCCUUGUUUAAUUAGUGUUAAAGCCCAUGUUGAAAUUUUGAUUUCGGUUGAGGUAUGUGCAUUCGGUCAUAGAGGAAAUUGAAUAAAAUUUGGUUGUUUUUCUUAAUUAAGGAGAGAAAUUUAUGAAUCUAUAAUUAUAAGUGACUAAAUGGUAAAAUAAUGAAUUGGAGGGACUUGUAUGUGAAGAGAUGGCAUUCAGUUAAGAGUAUCUUUGACAAAUUUGGUUCUUGUUAUUUUGCAUGAACUUAGAUUAAUUUGUAAGGACUUGAAAAUACUAAGGAAUAUUUGAAUGAAGUGAAAUAGAUAGAAUGUUGAGUAAUUACAUGUUAAGGAUGUUAAGGCUUAAUUGUUAAUGUCCGAAUUCUAUAAAGGGGGCUGUUAUGCGAAUUAAUUUUAAGUUGUGUUAUUUUAUAUAUAUAUAAUAUAAUCUAUGGGGUAAUGUGAAGUGGAUCAAUUGAUCGAUUAAAUAGUUGCUUUACUUUAAUUCAAGCUCAAGACCCAAAGAACCGAGAUUUGGAUCGGGAAAGACGAAGUUAGCUGAGUAGUCGACACUAUUGUACGAAGUUGUUGAGGUAUGUUCUUAAGUAAUUUAAAUUCAAUUCGGUAUGCUUAGAAUUUAAAUAAACAUAUUAAGGUAAAAUGCUUGAUUAUAUAGAUGUAUAAAUAUAAUGUGAUGGAUAUAUGUUUGGAUAAAUGAUUAGAGCCGAAUGUGGCUAAAUUAUUAAUCCGAAAUAGACAUAGAAAUAUAAUGUGCUGCAUGUGUGUUUGAAUAAAUAAAUUGAACCGAAUGUGGCUAUACUUUUUGAAUUGAAAUAGACAUUGAGACAAGGUGCCGAAGGUAUUUUCAAAUGAAAGGAUUGAUGAAAUUGAUGUGUAUUAAAGUAGUUGUGUUAUGACUCAUACUAUGUGUAAUCUUAGCAAUGAGCUAAGUAGUGAAUGAUUGUAACAUCGGGCUAAAAGCCUAGCAGGCAUAUUGCCGGUGAUGUGAUUCAGGUUAUAAUUCUAGCAGGCUACAUGCUGGUAUGAUUUUUCGUGACUAAGAAUUGAUGUGUUUUUGAACAAGUUAAAAAUGAGUGUAAAGCCAAGUAUGAGUUAAAUUGUUAUUAAUUCGUAAUAAGGUACGCAUGUGAAUAGUUAUGAGAAUUUUUGUAUGUAAUUUAUGAUUGAAUGAUGGCUAUGAUUUAAAUGAUAUUGAUUUGGUAUAUCCAAUUGAAGUAUAAAUUAUGAAAUUAUGAAAGAACAGGUGAAUUGUUUAUCGAAAUGUGAUAUUCGGGCCUCGGCAUAGCAAGCUUUAAGCUGGUGAAUAAUAUUAUCGGGCUUCGGGCCUAGCAGGCUAUAAUACCGGUGAAAUGAUAUCGGGCUUCAAGCUUAGCAGGCGAGAUGCCGGUGAAUGAGUUCAGACUUAAAGUCUAGCAGGCUUUGUGCCGGUGAUGAAUUCGGGUUUAAAACCUAGCAGGCUAAAUGUCGGUGAUUUGAUAAAAGUGUAAGACUAUGAAACCUUGUGUUAAAUCAGCAAUUGAAUUCGUUCAAUACAUUAAGUUGGCCAGGUAUUUGAUAUAUACUUAUACAUGUUAGAUCGAUUGGAAUUGAAUCAUGAAUGUGAAAUGAGAAGCAUAGGUGAAGAUGUCAUAUGUGUAUGUGUGUAUUCGGUCAUGGUGAAAGGUUAUAUGAAUUAUGUGAAAUACCAUUUAGAUAUGAAUGACGAAAGUAACUGUGGUUAUGAAAUGGUACAAUGGUUGAAUUCGAUUGAAUUAAAGUUGACACUGAAGUAUUUAAAUGCCUAUGUCAUAUAUGUGAGUAAGGGUAAAACCAUCGUAAAUUAUCGAUAAGGGUGGGCUAUGUGCGGAACCAUCUUAUAAUUACUAAUUUGAACGGUUGUGUGCGAAUCAUUGAGCAUGAUGUAUUGUAUUGAGAUUAUGCUUAAGUGAAAUUAUAGAUAUGUGAUGAAAUUGAUUAGUGAUAUACAUGUUUAAAUAAUAUGAAUGCAAAGAAUGUGUGAAAGAGUAAAUUUGUAAUAAAUCUGCUUGGGAUAGCAGCAGUAACGUGAUUUUGGAAAAUCACCAUAAAUUGUGGGAGUUGAGUUAGAAUCUGAAUAAAUUAUGUAAUUAAAGCUUAAUGAGCCUAGUUUCUUAUAAAAGAAACCGUGUAAGCAAAAGAAUUGCUGAUAAUGAGAUAUUUGAAGUGGCGUGGGACAGAGUCAAAUGACUUCGGGGUCCACUGUUCUGUUUUUAGAAAAUCAUUAUAAUUUGUACAGAGUCUAGUUUCAAAUGAAAUCAACGAGAACAUAUUUUGAAUUCUGUACAAUUAGAAAUUUGAUUCGUAGUGAAGAGUGGUUAGAUUAGUCAAAUAGUGAAACAUGGGAAAUUUUAAGAAAAAUCUCGUAUUGAUUUGCCAAACCAAAAAUUCUGAAAAUUUUAUGGAUAGGAGAUAUAUGAGUCUAUUUUCAAGAAAAAUUAACGGCAAUUGAUUUGGAGUUUCGUAGCUCCAGUUAUAAAUAGUUUAGUGACUGUUGCUCAGGAAGACAACUUGUAGUGAAUUUGUGAUUAUGUUGUAAGCAUUGAUAAAACUUGUUAAUGAGUUGCUUAUUGUUUUCUUAUGAACUUACUAAGCAUAAAGCUUACUUCCCUUUUCUUUCCCAUAUUCCCUAGGGUUACCAGGUUAGCUCGGGUUGGAGGCCGUCAGAGAUAUUAUCACAUAGUCGAGUCUACGCUAUCGGCGUAAGUAAAUCUUAGUGUUUCGAGUCUAUGGCAUGUAUAGGAUUGUAAAGUUGAGUAUGUAAUAUUAUGAUUAAGCCAAAGACUUUGGCUUGUUAUUAAGGUAGUUUGAUUAUUCAUAUGCUUGUAUGUUAUUAUCUCCUGUGAUGUGGUUUAUAGCUUGUAUAUUUAGAAUUUGAAUUGUGAUUCAUCGUUGAGUAAGUAAAUGAUACAAGACUAAGAUAUUGGUAAAUAUUUAAUAAUACCUCAUGAAUGUUUUGGGGCCUUGUAAGCCCGAUUAAAGGAUAAUAUACGUGUGUAUGAAAAGUUUAAAAUUGAUCAAAAAUUUUUACGGUCUAGUUUUAUAUAAAUGGUUGAGUUUAAAUCUGGUAGCACCUCGAACCCUGCUCCGGCAGGGAUACGAGAGAAAGGUGUUAUAUUUAGUGGUAUCAGAGCAUGGUUUAGUCGAUUCUCGGACUAACCUAGCUUAAGAGAGUUUAGCUAUACAUGCCAUAGUAUUACUCGUGAUAGUGUGAUAUCUCCCGGCCCUAACAAAAUUAUUGGUUAAGACAGGAAUGAGUUCCAACCGAGCAAAUCUUGAUAGAGAUAAGAGUAAAAUUUAGAUUAAUGAAUCAUGCUUGUGAUAUGUUGAAAAUGGGAAAGGUAUGAAAAGAAAUUUAUGAUUCUUUUUACAUGAAUUAGUACUUAUUUUGUGAUACUAAUGAGUUAAAGAAUAGGGAAACGUGGAAUGAAAUGAAAGUUAAGUUGUGAUAAGCUCUUUCGUACAUGUCAGUAUUCACAGGAUGAUACGUACCUAACUCAUUUGACUUAGUAAUUAUGAGGAGAAAAUUUGUUUGAAAUGACAGAAUGUAUGAAUAAAUGCUUUUAUUGCCUGGUUAGUAAUCAGUAUAUGCAUGAAAUUGACAUUUAUGUCUAGACUAAUGAAGUCAAGAUGUCGUAAUGUUAUGCUUUAUAAUCUCAGUUACAGAUUCAUAAAUGUCACAAUAGCAUGAAAAUUGUAAUGACGGAUCAAAUUGGGUGGAACACAGGGAAUGAGUACGAUGGUUUACUAAUGAAUUGACGGAAAAGACCAUGGUUGGACCAUGGCAAUACAUGAAAUAUGAAAGCUAGUGUAAGUCAUGUCCGAGACAUGCAUCGGCCUCGUAGGUGCAAGUGUAAGACCUGUCUGGGACAGGCAUCAUCACCGAGACAGAGGAGCUAGUGUAAGACCCAUCUGGGAUGUGGCAUCGGCUCAACUUGUGCUAAGCGUAAGACUUAUCUGGGAUAGGCAUCGGCACGACAAUAGCAGAGCUAGUAUAAGACCAUAGUUGGACUAUGGCAUCAAGUAGGCGAUGUACUCAAAACCAUAAGACGUUCUCCAAUUUGAUAAAUAGUGACAAGUGAUCAAGAUUAGACGUAGAAACUUGAUAAGAAAUUUUUGGUAAUUUGGGUAAAAGAAAUGAAAGUUUGAAAUGUGAUAAAUUCACUUAUGUUUUGCUGACAUUCACAGGAAAUAAAGUUGCAUGUAUUACUGAGAUGUAUGAAAACGUGUUCAUAAUAAGUUGGAAAUUUGAAAUGUUUGAAUCAAUGUGUGUAAUGUUAUGUUGUUGUUGAAUGUGUAUUUGCUUGAGAGUCAAAAGUUUAAAGGCUUUACAAUUUUCGCCCCUUACCAGAAUAGAGUUAUACAGUGAGAUUCUCGAGAGAUACAUUGCAUGAGUUUGCAAAAGUGAAAUUAAAGAGUACAAUAGUGUAAUAGUAUGGGAUUAGUGAAAAUAGAAUUAGACGGUUGAGUCAUGAUUGAAUUAUAUUGAUGGCUGAGUGCAGUAGUUAUAGUCGGGCAGUUACUAUGACUUCUUCAGGGCAUUCUAUGUGUACAUUUAUCUUCAGAAGUAUAUGUGACGGUUUAAUUUCAGAAGGAAUUUUUGUCAUAUAAGAACAUUAGUUCAGCAUACUAAUAAACGAAAGCAUCGUUAGUUUGUUUGGGUUAUGUUCGACAUUGCUAUGUCUUUCUUUGGUAUUUAUUCCCAUAUGUGAAUAUGAAAAUCAACAGAAAAUCUGUAUGAUGCUAAUACUCUGUUUCUACUGAUUAUUGUUCGGUUGAAUAUUCGUGAAGAGUAUAUUGUCUCUGUUACUAUGGAUUUCAGUAAUUACGAGUGACAUUGUUCUUUCUGGACAUUUUUUGGGAUAUCAUCGGAAUUGAUAUCAUUCUAUAUGGGUGGUAAUUUACUGAUAUUCUGUGUAACUUCAGACAUUGAAAUUUUUCUAUAUCGAUUUCUUAUGAUUUCAUGUGAUUAUCUGUAAGAAAUAUUUAUUUGACAGAGUUGAUUAUGUUUAUUAUGAUUAUAAUUUCUGGCUUGAAAUGUGAGAGUAUAGUGGUACCGUCAUUAGAGUUAUAGAAGUUGUGAUUCUGCAUUGGUUGAUGUUUAAACCAUAUUUGAUUCUCUUCUGUGUUCAAAUAUUUCAUUAACAAUCGGGAUAAUAUUUAUUAUAGGGUUGAGACAUUUUUCCUAUUAAGGCCCAAAGAUGUCUAUCUGGUUAAGGUGACUUCAGUAUAAUUCAGAGUUUCGAUGAUUAUUAUAUGAGACAGUUUUAUUAUAAUUUUUUUUUCUUUUCCUAGUUAUUGUGAAAGAUUCGACAUUAUUAAAAGUGAAAAUGAUAGAAGAUCAAGAUUAAAUCUGUAUAGUGAUAUUUCAAAGGUUAUCUUUCUAGCAAGAAGAAAUAUGUGAUUUGAGGGAUAGUCUAGAAGAAGAAUCUGUAUUCGUGAAGAUUUGGUACAAAAAUUAUAUCUGGUUUAAAAUUGAUCAAAAAUUUUUACGGCCUAGUUUUAUAUAAAUGGUUGAGUUUAAAUCUGAUAGCACCUCGAACCCUGUUCCAGCGAGGGAUACGGGGGAAGGGUGUUACAAAGAGGCAAGCUGGAUAAGAAAGUUCAAGCAGGCAUUUUGCUAGGCUACAGCACAGUCAAGAAGGGCUAUAGGAUCUUGGAUCCUUCAACAAACAAAGUGCUUGUGAGCAGAGACGUGGUGUUCAAUGAAAAGGCAAGUUGGAAUCGUGAGAAGAAUGAGCCAGAGGCAGUUCCUGAAGACCUUGUAACAGAUCAGACUGAAGCAGAUCAAAAUGGUCCAGAAAUGGACAUUGAUGAUGAACCAGUCAGAGGCACUAGACCUUUGGCUGAAAUUUAUGAAUGAGCACAAGUAGCAAUAGUAGAACCAAGCUGCUUUGAAGAGGCUGAAGCUCAACAAGGCUGGAAACAAGAAAUGGCUGAUGAAAUCAACAUGAUUGAGAAGAACCAGACAUGGGAACUAGUUGAAAUACCAGCCAAUAGGAAGAUCAUUGGGGUGAAAUGGGUCUAUCAAGCCAAGCAAAAUGCUGAUGGUAGCUUGAAAAAAUUGAAGGCAAGGCUGGUUAUGGAGGGAUUCAGUUAGAAAUAUGGCAUAGACUACCUAGAAACUUUUGCAUUAGUGGCUAGGCUUGACACCAUAAGGCUACUAGUUGCCUUAGCAGCACAAAUGCAAUGGAAAAUCUAUCAGCUCGAUGUAAAAUCAGCCUUCCUCAAUGGUUUUCUUGAAUAAGAAAUAUAUGUUGAGCAGCCUGAAGGCUUCAAAAUUGUUGGUAAAGAGGAUAAGGUGUACAAACUGAAGAAAGUCUUGUAUGGCUUGAUAUAGGCUCCAAGAGCCUGGUAUAGUAGGAUCAAUGGCUAUCUAGCUAGCCUUGGAUUUGAAAGAAGCAUCAGUGAACCUAAUUUGUAUGUGAAAAAGAAAGGUAGUAAAACUCAACUGAUAAUGUCUCUAUAUGUUGAUGAUCUGUUAGUGACAAGAGGAGAUCAAGCAAUGGUGACAAACUUCAAAUGUAAAAUGGAACAAAUGUUUGAUAUGUCUGAUUUGGGACAAAUGUCGUACUUCCUUGGUAUAGAAGUAUUUCAAGCUCAGCAUGGGAUCUUCCUAAGUCAGUGAGCUUUUGCCUUAAAGAUCUUGAACAAAUUCUCCAUGUAGAACUGCAAGGCAACAAACACACCAAUUGCCAUUGGAGAAAAGCUAUCGAGACAAGGUGAUUCUGAAAAAGUCAGUGAAUCAACAUAUAAAAGUCUAGUUUGAUGUUUGCUCUAUUUAACUGCCACUAGACCAGAUAUUAUGUUUGCUGUGAGUUUGCUCUCAAGAUUUAUGCAUUAUUGUAAUGAGAAGCAUUUUCAAGCAAUAAAGAGGGUGCUCAGGUACAUUAAAGGUAACCUGAGUUAUGGAAUGCUAUAUAGCAAAGCUGAAAGCUUGAAAUUAGUUGGCUAUACUGAUAGUGACUGGGCUAGUUCGAUGGAUGACAUGAAGAGCACCUCAGGGUAUGUUUUCACCCUUAGUUUAGCCAUCUUCUCUUAGAGUUCGAAAAAGCAAAAUGUUGUUGCUCAGUCAACUGCUGAAGCAGAAUAUGCAGCAGCUGCUGGAGCUGUGAACCAAGCUGUCUGGUUAAGAAAAAUCUUGGUUGAUCUGAAUCAACACCAAAAGGGAGUAACAGAGAUAAAAUGUGACAAUCAAUCUGCUGUUGCAAUUGCAAAGAAUCCAGUUUUUCAUGGAAGAACAAAGCACUUCAAUAUUAAGCUUCAUGUUGUUAGAGAAAUGGAGCAAGCUCGAGAGGUGGAACUGGUUCACUGCAAUUCUGAAAAUCAAGUUGCUGACAUCUUGACAAAACCCCUUAGUGUGUCUGUAACACCCCUAACCCACAUCCAUUAUCGGAACAGGGUUAUAAGAUGUUACCGAAGUUUACGGAAUAAUUAUACAAAAAUCCCAUUAUUUACCUAUAUUCACAUCAAAGCUGUCCACUCGAGUCAUAGUCACUAAAUUAUUUAUAUCUGGAGCUAUGGAACUCCAAAUUAAGACUCGAUAAUUUUCCCUGAAGCUAGACUCACGUAUCUUCCUACCAUAAAAUUUUCAGAAUUUUUGGUUUAUCCAAUAAGUACAUUUUAUUCUUAAAAUUCUCCCCUAUUUCACUGCUUGAUUGUUUUGACCACUCUUCACUAAAAUUUAAUUAUCUCUCUUUACAGAAUACAAAUAAUGUUAUUGGUUGUUUUUUGUAAAAAUAGACUCAUUAAAAAAUCUAACCAUAUAUAUUAUGUCCCAUAAUUAUUUUUGUACAUUUUUUAAUGAAUUUUACCAGUCAGAACAUGGGAGCUCGAAAUCACUCUGACCUUAUCUCAUAAAAAUUCGAAUAUCUCCUGAUAUGAAAGUAUUUUGCUUACACCGUUUCUUCUAUGUGAAGCUAGAUUCAAUAGGAUUUAAUUUCAUAUCUUAUUCAACCUAUAAUUAGAUUUUCAUAAUUUAUGGUGAAUUUUUAAAGUCAAAAUACUGCUACUAACCAAAAACUAUUUUAGUACAAAAUAUUGUUAACUAGUUUAUAACAUCUUUUAAAACGCAAAAUUCACUAAUUCAAAAAUUCUUUUAAAUUCGCGCUUGGCCCAUAAUUAUUAUUUAUUAAAAUUUCUAAACUUACUCAUUGGAUUUUGUGAUCUCGAAUCACUAUUUCUGACAACACUGAAAAAUUUGGCUAUUACAAAUAAGGCUGAAAAAUUUGAUUCAUUAAAUCCAUAAAUGCAGUAGGGGCAUUUGUUAAACCAAAAGGCAUUAUUAAAAAUUCGUAGUGACCAUACCGAGUUCGAAAAGCAGUCUUUGGCACAUCACACUCUUUAACCUUCAACUGAUAAUUCCUAGAUCUAAGGUCUAUCUUUGAGAACACUGCAGCACCUUUUAGCUUAUCAAACAAAUCAUCGAUACGAGGUAAUGGAUAUUUAUUUUUAAUUGUUACCUUGUUCAACUGUCUGUAAUCAAUACACAAUCGCAACGAGCCAUCUUUCUUUUUCACAAAUAAGACAGGUGCCCCCUAAGGUGAUGUACUCGGUCUGAUGAACCCUUUUAUCCAAGAACUCUUGCAAAUGUGUCUUCAACUCUUUUAACUCAGCCGGUGCCAUUCUAUACAGUGUUAUUGAUAUCGGAGCUGUAGCCAGAAUUAUAUCAAUUACGAAUUCUACCUCACGAUCUAGGGGUAAACCAGGUAAUUCCUCAGGAAACACAUCAGUAAACUCAUUAACAAUUGGAAAUUGUUCCAUCUUCAAUUUAUAACCUCGAAUAUCAAGAAUAUAAGCUAAAAAUGCUUCAUUACCCUUCCGAAUCAAUUUCCGAGCUGCAAAAAUAAUUCUGAUAUUAUUCUUUUUAUCCCCAAACUCAGCUGAAACUAUUUCCCCUGUCUAACAUUUUAAAUCAAUUCGUUUUUCUCUACAAUUCACUAUGGCAUCGUGUUUAAUCAACCAAUCCAUUCCAAGAAUAACAUCAAAUUCUCGGAAAGCUAACAACAUUAAAUCAACAGAGAAUUCACAGCCUUGUAUUUUCAGUAGACAAUUUCGACAUAUUAAAUUAACUAACACAUUUUGCCCUAGCGGAUUAGUGACUUAUACAUCAAGGUCAGUGGACUCAACAGUCAUUUUCUUUUCUAACACUAAUGCAGUGCAAAUAUUUGAAUGCGUAGAUCCAGGAUCAAUUAAAGCAUACACAGAAUCAUCAAAAAGAUAGAAAUUACCAGCUAUCACAUCUGGAGCAGAAGCUUUUUCCCUUGCCCGGAUAGCAUAUGUACGUGCAGGUGCUCUUGUUUCUGAUCGGGCUGUAGUAUCUCUUGUUCCCAAACGAACAAUGUGACAGCCCUAAUUUGACCCUAGUCAGAAAGUGGUUUCGGGACCACAAAAUCUAGUCACAAAAAUAAUUAAACGUUAUAUUCUAUGCUUAUUAUAUGUGUAAGUGCAUGUGUGAAAGUUUCAUGCUUUGAUUUUGUCAUUUGUAUGUGAAAUUUAUUAAAUAGGACUUAUGUGAGAAAUUUUGAAAAUGUGAUAGGUUAAAUUGUAGUGGUCUAUUAAUGCAUGAAAAAAAAAAGAAUGGACUUGCAUGUCAAAUUAUCCAUUUUAAGAUAGUGGCCGGCCAUGUUGUUAUUUAAUAUAAAAUAUAUGUAUUAUCUAUUAGUAUUAUGGCAACUAAAUGGCUUUAUAUUUUAUAAUAAUGAUAAUUAAAAAUAGAAAAAAAGGGUGAAGAAAACAAAGUGUUCAUCUUUGUUCUUCUUAACCAAUUUUAAAGAAAGAAAAAGGAGCAAAACCAUUCGGUCAUCUUAAGCUUGAAACAAGGUUAGUAAUUCAAGUUAGAUUUUGAAAUUUUAGCUUAUUUUAAGUUAGUUAACAAGUUCCUUACUUAGCCCAUGUCAAAAUUUUGAAUUUGGGUGAUGAUUUGAUCAUUCGGCCAUGGUAGAUAAUGAAGGGGUUAGAUUAUUGUCCGUAUAUUUUGAUGGAUAAUUGUUGAUGAGAGAAGUUUGAACUAGUUAAAAUUUAAAUUGCUAGUACUUAUAUGUGUAAUAGUCGAACUUGAACUUGAUAAAUGACUUGAACAAAUGUUUUGUAUUAAAAUGUUAGAAUGUGAGUAAUUGCCGUUUGGGUGAUUUGGAAAAAAUAAAGUAAAUGUUUGAAUGUCUAAAGGUUCGGCUUUAUGCAUUAAUUUAAUGGUAUGAUUUUGAAUAAUGUAAGUAAUGGAAUGUGAGUAAUGUUUAUGCAUAAGUGAAAUUAUAUAUGUUCGGCCAACCUAGGUCUCUAUGAUAUUGAAAACGGAAAUUAUCAUGUUAAAUGAUGUACGGCAGUGGACUAAGUAUUUAUUUGUAUCUUACAUAUAUAUGUUAGGAUGAUGAUUGAUAGGUGAGAAUUAAGCUUAGUUAUAAGGUAUAAAUAUGUUAAAAUAAAUGUUGUAUGUGGUUCGUGAUUAGUUUUAUUGACUAAACAAUGUGCUUUGUUUCGUUAAGGGUAAGUAUGACUUUGGCAUAUGAGUAAAUGUAUAUCAUGUAUGUAUAUAUAUUGAUUUGGUUGAAUAUAAAUGGUAAAUUUUAUAUCAAGCUUAUAUUAAGGAUACAAUUAUAAUAAACACAUUUAUCAUGAAUACAAGAACCUUCAGUCAUAUAGAUUUUUAUGUAUGUCUUUAAGUUAAUAUGAAUUAUGGUGUUUAUAUUAAGACAUGUGCACUUGACCUUUCUAUUUGUUUAAUUUUGUAUGUUACUAUGUGUCUCAGAUGUGUGCAAGGUGUUUACAAUUGUGAGUGUUACUUACCCUGUUAUGUGGCUAAAUGGUUAAGUUGAUUUUGGAAUCUGUCUUAGUUGUGAUAAUUUCUCCACUUAAAUUCGGUUUGGUGUAGGCAGAGUAUGAGCUUAAUAGGGUUUAUAUGUUGUGAAUGAAUGAAACUUUAGUUAAGCUAUUGUGUGAUAUGUGCUUUAAAAUAAAUGAAUUAUGCAUGUGGUCUUGAGAGUGUGUAUAAAGAAAAUGUUAACUUGUUUGUAUCUUAAUGCCGAAUGAAAUAUUUGGCCAAGGAAUGGUUCAAAUUGAUGAAAAUAGAAAGGUCAAAGAUGACCUAUAAAGUAUUUUAUUUUUUGUUUACUAUGAUCUAUAUAUGUGAAAGUCGAAUAUGUAUAUAUAUUAUAUUUUGAAGUAAUGCUUGAAUAGUCGAAUAAUGAUUAGUUUAAAAUUUUCUUUUGAAUUAAGCUCAAGAGCAUAGAGGGACAAAUUCGGAUAAGGGAAAAGCUAAAGUAGUUGAGUAGCUGACCCGUAGUUGUUCAGAAAAUACUCGAGAUAAGUUUUCAGUGUUUAAACAUAAGCUUUUUAUGAAUGAAUCAUGAUAUGUCACGAGAAAUUUGCCAUACUUUUAGCUUAUAUAUAUACACAUACUUGAAGCCGAAUAGUAUGCAUGUGAUUUAAAUAAGGAAAUUUGUUAUGAUCAUCUUGCUGUGAGAUGUAUUCCUUAGAUGGGAGAUAUGUAAUGGUAAAUUAAGAAGCAAUAGUGUGAUAGUUAUCAAGUGAUUAUACGUGAAUGAAGUUAAAGAGGACUAAUGUGAUUAGCUUAUGUGAAAUGCAUAAAUAUAAGAAGUGUAUAUGUUAUGAAUUUGUGAAAUUUGUAUUCGAAUUAUUAUUCGGGCCUAUGGCUCAGCAAGCUUUUAGCAGGUGGAGUUGUUUCGGGCCAUGAGCCUAGGAGGCAUAAUGUCGGUGAAUGAGUUUCAGACUUAAUGUCUAGCAGGUCUCGUGCCGGUGAUAAAUUCAGGUUUAUACCUAGCAGGCCUCGUGCCGAUGUUAAGUUCGAGUUUAUACCUAGCAGGCAAAUUGCCGGUGAAACAAUAAAAGUCUAUGAAUAUGAUAUUAAACUAUACGAUAUCUAGAUUCAUUCGAUAGAUUAAAUUGUCCAGGUACGUAUAAAUUGUUACUAUACGAUAUCUAGAUUCAUUCGAUAGAUUAAAUUGUCCAGGUACGUAUAAAUUGUUAUACAUAUGAAGAGAUGUGAAUUAAAGUAUAAAUUGAAAUGAGAAGUAUAGGGAAGGUAGUUGUGUAUAUUUAUAUUCGACCGUCUUGAAUUUAGUACAUGGAAGUAUAUGUUAUAUACAUAUAAUUAUGAUCAUUGAAAUUAUAAGGUUGAAUCGAUGAGUUACUACGAGUCAUUUAGAAGCUAUGAUUAUGAAAUUCGAACUCUGAAGAAAUAAUAAGUAGUUGAAAUGGAUUUUACGUGGUUAUAUACUUUCGGUCAAUUGGUAUUAUAUUUCGAAUAUGAUAUAAUGUGUAUAAAUAAGUUUUGUUGUUUAAGAUACUUAAGACUUACUAAGCUUAAUGGCUUACUGUGAAUGUUUUGUGUUGUUCUAUUUUAUAGAUUUUGUUGAAAGCUACGAGCUCGAGGAUUUCAAUUUCAAAAUCAUCUACACUAUCGUCACUGUUUUGGUACUUUUGAUAGUUUCUAUUUUGAGAUAUGGCAUGUAUAGGCUUAACUCUCCUUAGUAAAGUAAGUUAUAUUUUGAAAUUGUAAAUAUUUUAGCCAUGCGAAAAUGGCUUGCUAAUUUCCUAAAUAUUAGUUUAUGGUUCUAUGGACUUAUGUGUCAAAUAUCUUGAAAAUUAUUAGUUACUUUAGCUUUGGUUAAAUUUUAUUCAUGGUUGAAUGAUUAAAGAAACUAUAUUUUGUUAUGCAUGAUUGAUUAUGAAUGGCUAGUUUGAUCUGUUACUGUUUGGUAAUACUUUAUGAAUCUAUCCAAGCGACGGAUAAGAGUAUAGGGUGUUACAUUUUAUUGGUAUCAGAGCUACGGUUUAGUCGAUUCUAGGACUAACGUAGCGUUUGUGAGUCUAGCUAUAAUGCCAUUUAGUGUUAAUACGAUAGUAUGAUGAUUUCUGACAGUUGAAAUGUGUUUUUCGUAUAGUAAUGGAUUCUGAUCCCGAUCGAGCAGUAGCUGACGAUGUCGAGAGUGUAGCACCUACUCCUGCACACGGGACAGCACCAAUUGACUCUCAACUAAAUGCAAGUAAUCAAAAUGAUGAGACUAAACAAGCCUUUUAUGCUAUGAUGAACGAUUGGUUUACCCAAUAUGUUCGAACUAAUCCGGCUAUUGCACAACCCCCACCCCCGACUAAUAUAAACCCUGCACCUGUGGUACCUCCGAUAGUCGACCCAUUGAGAUUAAGCAAGCCCCCGGUAGAUAGAAUUUGAAAGCACGGGGCUACUGAAUUCAAGGCUACUGACAGUGAUGAUGCCGAGCAGGCUGAGUUUUGGCUCAAUAACACCAUUCGAGUGUUUGAUGAAUUAUCGUGCACAACCGAUGAGUGUUUAAAAUGUGCUAUAUCUCUGUUGUGUGAUUCUGCCUACUAUUGGUGGAAUACUUUAAUUUUUGUUGUGCCUAGAGAACGGGUUACUUGGGAAUUCUUUCAAACUGAGUUCCGCAAGAAAUAUAUUAGUUAAAGAUUCAUCGAUCAGAAACAGAAGGAAUUUCUUGAGCUCAAACAGGGCUCUAUGACAGUUACUGAUUACGAACAAAAGUUUUUCAGACUUAAUAGAUAAGCUCGGGAAUGUGUCUCGUUUGAGGCUAUCAUGUGUAAACGUUUCGAGGACGGGUUGAAUAAAGACAUUAAACUGUUGGUGGGUAUUCUGGAAAUCAAAGAGUUUGUAGUGCUUGUCGAGCGAGCUUGUAAAGCCGAAGAGCUCAGUAAAGAAAAAAGGAAAGCUGAUGAUGGAGCUAGAGAGUUCCGUAAAAGAUCUUCAGGAAAACCCUUUCAUCAGUCAUCAAAGAAAUUUAGGGAUGACUCAGGCCGAUCUAAGAAUACAUCGGGUUUUUUUGGACGGGACCGUGAUCGACCCCCUGUGAGUACACGAGCCACCUCUGUUGCCAGUGUUAGCAAUGAUCGUCAGGACAGAUCUGAGUGCAAACAUUGUGGCAAAUGGCAUUCAGGAAGCUGUAGAUUUCAUGACGCUCCUGUUUCAAAUGUGGAUCAUCUGAUCAUUUUAUUCGAAACUGUCUAAAAUUAGAUGAUCAGAAUACUGAUCCGAGUGGGAAACCUAGUAACACUGCAACACGAGGUAGACCACCUAGACCCGCAAGUAAUGCUAGUGGAAAUCAAAGAGGGACUAAAAAAACUGUUGUACGUUCUGAGGCUCGUGCCCCUGCUAGAGCCUAUGCUAUACGAGCGCGUGAGGAUGCUUCUUCGCCAGAUGUUAUUACUGGUACUUUCACUCUUUUUGAUACUGAUAUUAUUGCUUUGAUUGACCCCGGUUCUACUCAUUCAUAUGUGUGUGAAACUUUGGCAUCCAGUAAGACUCUACCUUUGAGUCUACUGAGUUUGUGAUUCAGGUGUCAAAUCCUUUGGGCCGUUAUGUGUUAGUUGAUAAAGUGUGUAAGAAAUGUCCCCUGAAGAUCCGAAAUUUUUACUUUUCGGCUGAUCUAAUGCUAUUACCGUUUGACGAGUUUGAUGUCAUUCUCGGUAUGGGCUGGUUAAUUGAGUAUGAUGCAGUAGUGAAUUGUAAGCGAAAGAUAAUUGACUUGAGGUGUUCAAAUGAUGAGAUAAUCCGAGUUGAGUCUACUGAUUUAAAUGGAUUACCGGCAGUGAUAUCUUUGAUGUUAGCUCAGAAAUAUGUGAAAAAGGGGUGUGAAGCUUAUCUUGCGUAUGUUCUAGAUAGUAAAGAGUUUCAAAAGAAACUUGAGACAGUGUCAGUAGUUUGUGAGUUUUCGGAUGUAUUUCCAAAAGAAUUACCGGGAUUACCACCUAUUCGGGAGGUAGAGUUUGGCAUUGAACUAGUGCCAGGGACUACACCUAUUUCGAUAGCUCCGUAUCGUAUAGCACCGACCGAACUAAAAGAAUUGAAAUAUCAGUUGCAAGAAUUGACAGAUAAAGGUUUUGCUCGACCGAGUUUUUCUCCCUAGGGUGCACCAGUGCUGUUUGUGAAAAAGAAAGACGGAACUAUGAGAAUGUGUAUUGAUUAUCGUCAACUUAAUAAGGUAACAAUAAAGAAUAAAUAUCUGUUGUCGUGAAUCGACGAUUUGUUUGAUCAACUGAAAGGAGCCUCAGUAUUUUCGAAGAUAGACUUGAGAUCGG
RNAcentral lists this long non-coding RNA (79179 nucleotides) under Gossypium barbadense (sea-island cotton). RNAcentral's name for it is "long non-coding RNA (GBAR_LNC000148)". The record is from RNAcentral. Lineage: Eukaryota; Viridiplantae; Streptophyta; Magnoliopsida; Malvales; Malvaceae.